UACUUUUUUUUUUUUUUUUUUUGUAAUUGUACAUUUGUGCCCUAUAUCAAUUUGUACAUGUAUUGCUAAAAAAUAGGAGAACUUAUUUGAUCAAACCUUCAAAGUAGUGUAGAAACGUGGGGUAGUAAUCGUGUAUUUUUAUCAUUUUUCUUGUAAAUUUAUCAAAUAGUCAGCAAAAUUACCUUGGUAAUUGAGAUUCUUUAUUAGUACCCCCGUUAUAAUCAACGUAUGGCGAUGGAAAUGUGUAUUACAACAACCAUAAUGAGAGUCAGCUUCUAAAAUACUACCUAGUUGAAAGGUAACAAUACACACUAUUUAGAACAAGAAACAAAUCAAACUUUGUAGUAUUCAAACUUAUUAGUUAUUUUAACUAGUUUAAAAUUUUGUUCAAACUUAUCUUGUUUAGUCAUUAUAUCGAUUUUGAACGAGUUUUUUUUUUUUUUUUUAUCGAACUUGAGAGUUGUCGAGCACAAAAAGUUAUUCAAAUUUGGAUUGACUAAUUAACGAAUCAAAUUGAAACAAACUCUUAUCAAAUCGAACUCGAUUCGAGUAUCAAAUAGUUAGAUUCACCAACAGGGGUUGGUUCGAGUGGUAAGCGGUUCGGAUUCGCUUAAGUAGGUCUCGUGUUCGAGUCCUAGUGUACGCAGACACCCCUGUUGGGAGACUCACCCACCAUAGCCAGGUGCGCGACGCGGGUCGGGUCCGGAUUAGUCGGGGCAAAGCUUCGGAUACCGGGCGGGCAACCAAAAAAAAAAAAAAUAGUUAGAUUCAUCUUUCAAUUCGAAAAGCAUUCUUUAGAAGAUAUUACAAAUAAUAUUCUUGGGCCACAGAAGGUCUUUAUAUCUUGAGUAAAUUGUUAUUUAACGCUUUGAGAUCUUUGUCAUCUCAAGCUCUCUCACAAAUUUAGAAAUUCUAGUCCAUUUGCCAUUGAAACAAACAUCCUUAAUCACGAUUAAGGGCAGUCUAACUAUGUGGGUAUACCUCCCAUCUGCCCCAAUCCUUUCAAUCACCAGGAUCAGGCCCAAGCCAAGCUCACACAAACUACAUAUUUUAACAAUAAGUAGGGUGUCUACAAUUUUGACAAUUAGAGAUGCCAUUACUGUGAAAGCCCAAGGAUGACGGGCCUACAGUUUAAGUAGGCCCAUUUCAUUGUGUUAAUCAGAAAUAAUACAAGAAACAAUAUAUACUACAAGAACUUCAGUCCAUACUUGUAAUACCAAAGAGGUGGCAUCACAAUUGGCACAUUCCAAUUGCCACUGCAGAAAUAUUGAAUUACAUUUCUCUCUUUUUGAUUCUUUCUUGCCUCACCUUCUUAAAGAAUUCAAAAUAGAAAGAAACAGAAAAUAGCACCUAGAGUUAUGUAGUGUAGUAAGCAAAUCUAACCCAAAAAAAUAAAAAGAAGAAUUCUUAGUUAAGAGAGAGAGAGAGAGAGAGAAUUCUUUUAGUAAAAUCAACCAUUCUAAAAAUGCUUGACCUUCAAUUCUCAUCCAGGUGCAAUCCAAUAUAUGUACUAUGUACUGUGUAGUACCUAAACUAAAGGGUUUCGUGCUUAAAAUUAAAUGUCAAGUUUUCAUUUUAUUGAUGUUCUAAAAUAAGAGUCACAAUUUCAAAAUUAACACAUAUUUUUCAAUCUUACUAUUUGAAAAAAUAUUUUUAAAAAAAAAAAAAUUUCAAUGCACAUCUAGUAAUGGAAUAUUUUGAAUUGAAAGAAUACAUAUGUAAAUUCAUCGCUGUCAUCUCAUCUGAACGUAAUAAUUGCCAUAUCUACGUAAAAAGUUAAAUUCCAAGAAACGAGUCUAUAAGGACAGAGGGAGUACUAAUAAUUGGUUUUUAGCAAUCAAUCAUCAUCAUCAUGCAUCAGGCUUUAACCUUUGAGUUGAUGAGGCAUAAAGAAGAAGGGGGAAAAAAACACCCCACAACACACGUCCUUCUCUUGACCUUUUCUAAACUGAAGUUUAGAAAUUCGGCUUUUAUAAACCUAAUCCCACAAGAAACCUCAAAAGCCGGCAACUCUUGAGCUCCUUCCAGGGACUUAUAAACCAAACCCAAACCCCCCCCAGAACCGAUGUGGGAUGGCAAACCCCACAAGGGCAAGCCAGUAAGGCCGCUGCUGCUAAGAAGUAAAGACCCCUCACGACACUCAGUAAACUACCCUUGCAUGAAUUUGCCUCUUGACCUUUUCUAAACUGAAGUCUAGAAAUUCGGCUUUUAUAAACCUAAUCCCAGAAGAAACCUCAAAAGCCGGCAACUCUUGAGGUCCUUCCAGGGACUUAUAAACCAAACCCAAACCCCCCCAGAACCGAUGUGGGAUGGCAAACCCCACAAGGGCACAACACACGUCCUUGAUCUUAUGGCAUUUUAUCCCAUGGUGAAAAGGGCAAUUGAUUGGACAAAUGCUUGUGCGAUAACUCCGCGGGACUCUUGGCAUUUUCACAUGGUCCUUUCACUGGUUUGAUAUUUGUCCCCAUUACCCAUUGUCAAACGGCACGUGGUAGCUGCAGGGCCAUUUGUGCUUCAGACCAGAACCGGCAGACAUGAAUCCAAGCAUCCAUCUAAGAAGAAAAAUGAAGCCGUGAACACAGGAAAUGAUGACAUAACAGUGUGCUGCAAUGCAAUUUCAACUUGUGGUGGAGGAAACUCAAAAAAUGAAACGUUAUAGGUAAGUAUAACUUAUCAACGGGUGUUAUUAAUAGUUGGUGGAUUUUUUUUCUUGUGGAUAAAAGCAGUAGGGUAAUUGGUACUUGAAGGGAUGGUACAUGGAUAGUACCAUCAGCCAUGUGUAGAACUUCUGCAACUAGCAGGAGAUUGGGAAUUUGGGGUACCCCACUUCUUGUUAUCUUGUACUGGUUCUCACCUCUCAGUGACCUUAUUUUUGGAGUUCAUGAGUUGAUCAUCUAAGUGAGGACUUUAGUUCAAAUUUGUCCAGUUCUUAUGCUAUAAUGGAAAAAAUGUUGGGAUGAUUUUUUUUUGGGUGUUUUUGGAAAACUUGUAUAGUAGCACCUUGUUCAAACGAGUGCAUGUGAGGUAAAUCGGUAAUUGGAGUACUGCCUGAAAGAUUUCAAAAGUUGAGUUUGUUUUUUCAGAAAAAAAAAAACCUAUGUGUUUGGAUAUCUCAUUAUUCCAAAUAAUAUUUCACUUGUAUUAUAAACACAUUUUUCAAUCCACUUAUUUAUAUUUCUAACCACCUUUUUAUCUCAUAUACAUCACAUCAUAAAAUGUGUUACAGUAAUUAUUUCAAAUAAUACUUUAUUCAAACGGAAUGGUGUCUCACCUACAAGAGCAAUGAGUUUGUUUUUUCAAAAAAAAAAAAAAAACAUUGUUUUAAUAAUGUACUUGUGUCUAAGGAAUCAUAAACUCCAGCCUUCCUUUAGAUGCAUGUAGAAAAUAUUUUUCAAAGAAGAAAAAACUUGGCAUAAACAUGUUAGCUGUUUGAUCUAGGUUGUAGUUAGUCUGACUGUAUUUCGAUAGUAAAAUUAUUUUCAUUUACUGUAACACUUUUUGUGAUGUGAUAUAUGUAAAAUAAAAAGAUGGUUGAGCAUAUAAAAAGAGGGAUUGAGAAAUGUGUUUAUGAUACAAGUUAGAUAUUAUUUGGCAAAUUUGAGCUAUCCAAACACGUACAUUUCCCAAUUAACUUCUUGUUUUUCCAGUUAACUUAUUAAUCUCACGUACAUUACAUUCCAAAAAAUAUUACAGUAACUAUUCCAAAUAAUAUUUUAAAUAAUCCCCUAUCUCAACACACUCUGUGUUACUAUUUUUACGUUAUAAGGGGACACUUUAAAUUCCCUAUUUUUUUUCUGUGUCCGACGAGUUUUGUUUGGAGAGAAAUGUAUAAACUAAUUAACUAAUAUUGCACAAUCAUUUACCUUUACCAUACUACCACUCUCAACGAAUUUUGAUGUUUCUACUACCAUGAAUCCAUUUGAAGAUUUCAAGAAAACCUCUAGCUAAACUUUUUCGACGAAAUCAUAUUUGCAGGGACCAAAAGCAUAAUCAUACUGGCAAUUUUGAUAGGACUUAAAAGAAAAAAAAAAAGCAGAUGCAAUAUUGAAAGAUGAGUAGAUAUGCUCAUUUCCUCUUGCUAGAUAAAAAGGGCUUUGGUGAUAAGGAAAGGAGAUUAUAAAUCUAUUAUUACUGAUUCAUAGUGAAGCAUGUGGCUGUAGUGUUUUUAUUUGAUUGAUGCAGACUUGUGAUUCAUUCAAUUUGGAAACUGGUCCUCACGAUGGUCUUUGUCAUUGCACAUCAAAAUUGAGAAUUAUCCCCUCCACAAUCUAGAAAUAUUUUUAUGAUUAAUCAACAGCAACGACAAUAACUUUUCUGGGCCCCAUCGUAAACUCCAAACCUUAUCUGAAUAGAAUCCUUACUCUUUGGGAUAAGGCUAGUAAUAAAAAUCUUCCAAAAGAAUCCGCCAAAUGUCAAGUACAUGUACAUGAAAAUUAGUAAGAUCAUACCACUUCUUUAAGAUACUUAGUAAAAAUCCAGUAAAUCACUUGUAUAUGUGUGUGUCCUGAUUUUUUCUGGUAAUUGGAGUCGAUUCCAUUCAAAUUUUGUAAUGCUAAAUAAGGGAAAAAAAAAGAAGAAGAAGAAGACAGCCUCGUAUCAUUGAAUGUUCAAAUUAUGCAUAUGAUUUUCUUCUUUUCUUUAGUAAACGGGAGGUUUCGAACUGGAUCUCUUAUUUAUAAUUCCUUCUAUUUUACCACCUUACUCCAAUCCUGCCACCCUCCGAUUUUCAUUGUUAUACUAGUAUAUUAUAUUUCACAUUGGGAUUUUUUUUUUGAAAUUAUUUUUCCAUCUCAAGCGUCAGACUAAGAAAAUCAAAGAAACUAUGAUGCUUCCUAAUUGUUUAAUACCUCUCAAUAUAUCAAUCAUACUGUUAUAUAUCUUUUCUUCUUUUUUUUUUCUUUUUCCCUUUGAGAACUCAAUAUACCUACCCUCAGUGAGACUCAUCUGAAUUCGGCUCAAGGAGCGCUCGCAGAGUCCGACUCUUGCCCGGGAAUGGAAGGCCUGAUCUAGAACUUUUCGAGGCGCUUCAUAUAGGAGUCAAAUUUGCUACCUCUUGUUGCCAUUAAUAACCCGCUUACUAGCUGCUCCAAACUCAUGGGUUAUCAUCUUUCCUUUCUUCAGUACUUAUGUGUGUGUCUGAUUGUUUUGUACAUAUCAAAAUUACAAGUACUAACUUUAAUUUGCAUUCUCAAACUUUUAUAAAAUUUUUAUUUUAUACUCUAAACUUUAAGUUUGGACACUUUGCAUUAUAAACUUUCAAUUUUAAAUACUUUGCACCAUAAACUUUUAGGAUUAUCCCAUUUAAAUCCAAUUAACAACAACUUUAACAAAAUUAACGGCAUAGAAGACCCAACAAAUCAAUGACAAUAUGCCAAAGGUGGUCAAAAGCAUCAAGAUAUCAUAAUAAAAAUAAAAUAAUGAAUUGUCAUUAAUUUGCGCCAUCUUUUAUUUUGUUAAUUUUGCUAACAAUAUGAGUGAUUGUGACCAUAUAAAUCAAUGACAAAAUGUUGAAAGUGAUCAAGAAAAGGUUAAGACAUUGCAAUUAGAACAAAAUGGUAUAUUGUCAUUAAUUUUCACUAUGCUGUAUCUCAUUAAUUUUGCGAAGGUAAUUAAUUAUUGGAUUUAAACGGGACAAACUUGAGAAUAGAGCGUAUAAAAAGAAUUUAGGGUGCCAAAUACCCAAAAUUGAAGUUUAAAAGACAAAGUGAAAAAAUGAUUCGAGCAUGUAAAGUGAAGUUAUUUCAAAAUACAAAUUAACAUGUAGACAGAGGUAAUUAUCACACAAACUAUAAACUUUCGGAGUCAAACUCAAAAAGAUGAUUCAUGUUAUUCUCCUACUAGAGUGAGAAAUCAUAGUUGUGAGAUAUGUUAGUUUUUGGAGCUAACCGUGUCGACCAUAUAUCCUUAUGCAGAUGCUUCAAUCGUUUUCUUCGUAGCUCAUCAUAGAUAAGUUGCUUAAUUCCUAGUGGAUUUUUUUGACUUUUUUGAGCGAAUAAUGCAUGCAUCUCUAACAAGGUAUGCUUGGAAGUAGCGACUGACAGUCAAAAUCAUAGUUGUGAGGAUUUAAGCCUCCUUAAAUAUGCUAUUCCUAUCUGGUAUUGUUUACUAGAUUGGAGUACUAGAAUUUUGUUCCAAGACUCUUGACAAUAAUAUUAGCAAAUUUCCUAAUACAAAGGCCAUCCAUUUACUCCCUCCCUUUUUUCAUAACUGACGUUUAAGGUUUUGCACACCAAUUAAGAAAAGUUAUUCAUUGCUUAAAUCGGUACACUACUUUCCUUUUAUACCCUCAUUAAUUGUCCAAUUCACCCAUAUUUUCUCUCACUAGAGUACUAAAUGGUGCUGUUUUACUAGGCCAAAAGUAAUGCAAACUAACUCCCACCAAACUAGGAGUAGUAAUUAAGAACCCUGUAUUGGAAAAGAGAGAUAAAAGGGUAAAAUUGUGAAAAAAUAAUUAAUACUGUAUGGGGAUAAUAAAACGACAGAUAAAAGUACACUAGAGCAAAUUUCUUAAACGUCGGUUAUAAAAAAAGGGAGGGAGUAGCUUUGUUCAUUUGAACUCGGAUAAUUUAAGUUGGAAUGCAUUCACCAUGCAAUAUUUAUUUUGUUUUAUUUCUUUUAUUAAAUAAGCAAAUCUAGAUUGGUACGUAUUACUGUCUCCAUAAACAUUAGAAUUUAGUUGAGUGCACAUUAUGUAGCAAAAAUUUACACAAAACAAAGGUACUUCUGCAUCUUUCUGUUUACAGUAUAAGAUCAAACGCUAGAAUUCACACCAGAUUAAUUAUUAAAGUUUUUUUUUUUUGACCAGAUUAUUAAAGUUAUUCAUGUUGGCACUUUUGUCAAAUGUGAUUCUUUAUUUCUUGAUUCUCUCUUGAUUGACAAACACUGAAUGGUGGAAUGAACCUAUCUAACCUAAACCGAGCACAAAUUAAUGAUGAAUUGUUUGAAAACCCAUAUCAGCAUCAUUCAGCCCCACAGGGGCCACAAGGCACACUUGAUUUGGUAGGCGGCUAAUUAUGAAUCACUCAUGUCAUUACCUCUUAUUUUAGAAAUUAUCUGGAUUUGUAUAGCACCUCUUUUUGGAUAAUUAACUGAAAAUGCUUUGUGUUUUGUCCAUCAUGGUGUCUUGGGGAAUUUACGAUAUCCCCAACACAAGGAUCAGAAUCCAGAAUUGAAAAUGAUUACUAAAUACACUUGUCUUGUUCAGGUACUGAAAAUUAAAACGACUUCACUUACAGAAAACGACUAACAAUCAUGAUAUUUCGUAACAAUAGACAUAAAUAUGAGAAUCUCUUACAAACAUCUAGUAUGAAUAUAACUUGCAUGGUUUACUUUUAGAACGUGAAAGAUUUGACAAUUGGAAGAUGCAUGCACGGUAUAUUUACUCUAACCUACACGUAAAAAAAAAAAAAAAAAAAGGUAAAGAGUGAUUCUACAUGCAUCAGAUAUAAAUAAAGCCAAACGCUAUACCAUAUCCUCAGAAAGCUGCACAUCUAAAGAAGAGAAUGUUUCGACAAACUAUCCAAAUACUUUAGAAUAGAUGCUGGAAGUUAAUUCUGUUCUUGUUUAACAGAAAUGCAAUUUGAAGAGUUUGUCUUGUGACAAAAUGAUGCGACAGGUAGAGGCAGAAUUGAUUGAGGACCUUAUCCUAUUUUCUAAAGAAGCAAAUAACUGUAGUUAAUGGGGCAAUUGCAUGCGGGUUCACUACUUCAUCUACCAACAGCACUCGAGGGUGUACAAGUUACAGCAGGAACAAAAAAAGCACAGACGCCUCCAUCCAAUUUGCACCUGGAUUCUCAAAAGUUGGUAUUCAAGUUUUACAAGAAGUUGGCAAAUCCUAAAUUUUUUGAAGUAUCGGUCUUUUUUUUUUGGUUUAUAAGAUUAUAGUGUGUACAAUGGAAACUUAAAAUGGUGAGAUAAGUACCAAAAAUUACAUUCAGAUGAUGGGAAUAACUACUCAUAGUGGAGUAAUAUUUAUAUGAGCACUGGAGGGUGACCCGAAGCUGAUUGGGCUAAUCCACCUGGUUUUAAAACCUGAAUCUUCAAAAGACAAUUCUUGAAUCAUUUGGUGGAAAAACUGUCCAAUGUAGCACAGCACCUCAGUUUGGUGGAUUUAUUUUUGUUUUUAAAAAUCAUAUUAUCACUCACAACCCUUAGGCUUAGUUUAAUUGCUUAAAUUGAGCAGAUUCCUGUUUUAUUGAAGCACUUGCAGUAUAUUUUUUGCAUUUUAGUUUUAGCACAUGCAAUUAAGCAGGAAAAGAAAAGCGAGAGUUCAACAAUUUUAGGGUAAAUCCCAAUCGGUGGAUUUAAGAUAAUAAAUAAAUUUUAGUGGCCAAGAGAGGCCGAACUCUUCGAAUCUUUUCCGUUAUCAGAUUCAAAGGUGAAAGGUGUAUACAUAUAUAUAAAGAAAUAGCUUGAAUAAAUGUGAAAUCUUUUUACUACUAUUCCCCCACCAUUCAAGAAUUAAUUUGUUGUUCAUUUAGGUAUUAUGACACCAUUUUGGGUUUGGUAUUAUCUUUUUCUUUUUCUUUUUUAAUGUGGAAUAUCCUGAGCAGAUUACUACAACAAAGGGAUUUCCUGACAUUGUGUCCCCUGAGUUUCCAACCUGGUAGACCUAAUUAAUAGACCUAAUUAAUAGGGGAGUGCCACGUUCAUCACGUGCUCUUCAUGCACCGAUAAAAACAUGAUUGAUUUUUCCACCAAAACCACAUGAGCAUCACGUGCUCUUCGUGCUCCUCUGAACGAAGGAAAACCUGGUAGACCUAAUUAAUAGACCUAAUUAAUAGGGGAGUGCCACGUUUAUCACGUGCUCUUCAUGCACCGAUGAAAACAUGAUUGGUUUUUCCACCAAAACCACAUGAGCAUCACGUGCUCUUCGAGCUCCUCUGAACGAAGGAAAACCUGGUAGACCUAAUUAAUAGACCUAAUUAAUAGGGGAGUGCCACGUUCAUCACGUGAUCUUCAUGCACCGAUGAAAACAUGAUUGGUUUUUCCACCAAAACCACAUGAGCAUCACGUGCUCUUCGUGCUCCUCUGAACGAAGGAAAAUAAAUGAGUGCUCCCUUUAUUUGUGUGACAGCCCCACCUUCCCCUAAGGCGAACCAAAGAGGUUAGCGGACUGCCUGCCCAGCUCUCGCCAGAACUAACGGUGCAGUAUAGAGCGAUCUAUCACGUUCCGGAACUUAUAACGCGCGUAAACAAGGCAAAAGGGCAAAAGAACCCAAAAUAAAAAAAAUAAAAUUCGGAGUCGGCCAAGAAUAGCAACCGACCCUUCCGAACCCAACCAAACAUCGAAAUACAUAUACAACAUAACAUUAAGCAUUUACAAGCCAAAAUGGCAUUUAAAAGUGAUACAAAAGUCACUACAUAUGUGGUUUGCCAAAUCAAAAGUGAAAACGGCCCUAAUGAUCCAUUUAGGGUCCCAAUUCAUAUACAAUACAAAAGAGACAUUCAUCUAGUUCAUUCGGCAAUCAUCUAUCAAGAUAUAUUCCAAAAAAGUCAUAUUCCUGUAAGGAAAACAAAAGGAACGGGGUGAGCUAAUUGCCCAGUGAAAAUACAACUCAAGCAACCAAGUUCAUAGAUGCAUCAAGCUUAACAGUCCAAUUUACCAAAAUAAGUAAAGCCACACAUCAAUAAUGAGGAUAAAAGGAUACGUGUGGCUCUCAAGAGCCCUUUUCCUCGUUUGCAUUCUUGAUCGGAUCUCAUUGACUCUCCGUCAAUGUUUAAAAGUAACCAACCGUAGACUACACUUUACUUCCAUUCCAUUCCACCUAACAUUCCUCAACCCCGCCCGCAAUCCAAACACAUGCAUGGUGGUAUUACUCGAGUAAACCGGAAUCAAGAGUCUCUCAUACUACAAGAUUCCAUAAAACAUUGCCCCACGGCACAUUAAUUGGCACGACCAAGCCCUCGCCGGCUCGAUUCAAUAAAUUACCAAUGGGGUUGAGUUCAAAGAUAACAAUUGUAGUCGUUGGACUCGUCCAAACGACAUCAAGUCAUGUAUUUCAUUUCAUAUAACAUUUCAUAUAGCAUUCCAAUAACUUUCCAAUAACAUGCGAAACAAUAAGUGAAAGUGAUAAAGUACACUCUCACUUCAAUCAAGUAACAUUCAACAUCUCAAGUUCAAGUAUCAAAGUCAUAUAAUAACACAUAAGUGAGUAGUACACUCACCACGCUAGCAAAGGUGAUUUCAAGCACUUUAGUCAAAAGAAUGUUGUGCACCACCGUCACGCCCUAAAAACAUGCAAACAAGUACAAUAAGACUCGAUAACGAGUCAUAAACCAAGGCCAAACAUGACCCCAGUAGGGUUCCAUAAGCAUAAACAAACAUGAGAGAAAACCAGAAAUUUCGGAAAUGCAAUUAGCCUUGGCCUUGAAAAAACAGUUUUUGUCCUCAUUUUGCGGUAAUGGCACCAAUUUCACUACGCUUAUCGGAUGAGGGUGAAAGACCCACCAUCUCGAAGCUAAAAGACAGGGCUACAACAUCACAGAAGGUCACUCAACCCAGUUUUGAGUGCAAACAGGUAAAAAAUGCAAGAUACUUCAACAACAACGUAAAACAGAUUCACCAAAACGCAUUCUAGCGAAAACAUUAUAACUCAGGCUCUACAAGUCCAAAUCUGGAAAUUCCAAAACCAGCUGAAAGCUAAGGAACAGGGCUAAAUUUCAUCAGAAGGCCUCAACAACCAAUUCGGAAGCAAUUCCAGCCAAAACAACCAAUUACAGUCGCAAAUCCCAAUUUCGGGUAAAGCCAGAACAGCAAUAGUAAUUUCAACUUUUCUCACUCUACGCUACUCCGAUUGACCUGAAAUUUUGUAGGCACCUCUAAAAUGUCAUUCCCUACAACUUUCAUGUUUUGAGCUAAGGCCAAUUCGGCCUCUAUCUAUGACCUAAAAUUUCGGACAGAAUGUAGCUUCAAGAACCCUAGAUUUUUCAAUUUUCUUCCAAAACCGAAAUUGGUUGCAAUUAAUCACAUUUCCCACCUCCUUAAGUCAUUAAAGACCAUUUCCAAUCAUCAUAGAUGACCCCAUAAUCAUGCUUAUAUUAAAACAGAAAAAUCCCCAAAAAUAAUAAAAUUCCAUCAUUUCAACCACAAAUCAAGAAUUAAUCCAUAAUAUUGCAUCUCUUACUACCACUAAGCAAGAUUUAAGCAUCAAUUAAAGGAGGAGGGUGGUUCUUCACAACUUACCUUUAAAAGAAGAGAGAGAGAGCUAUUGAUCACCUUAACCUUCCAAAUAACUUCACCAAACAACUCACAAACACUACUUGAAGGUGUUUUAUGGAGUAAUUUCAAGGUUGAAUGGUUGGUUGUGAUGAUUUGGAACAAGAUUGAAGUGUUUUCUUCCUUAUGCUUGGAGUAAGAGAGAGAGAAAGAAAGCUUGAGAGGGCCGGCUCUUCUUGAAGAUUUUUGGAAGAUUUUUGGGUCAUUUUUGGUUAUUUAAAGUCAAAUGGUAAGAAUAGGAAUAGUGGUCAAAUGGCAAGACUAAAUCUUAUGGUGACACUUGUCACCUUUUAUUAAAUGCUCACCUACCUUGUCUCCCUUAUAUCAAUCCACUUAGCACCCUCUACUUAUCUCUUAACACCCGGUAAAUUUAAUUUCAGUAUCCAAAACUUAAUCUAGUCGGUCGAAUUUUUCCGAACUUUUCGCACUAGUGGGUCCCACGUCCGGUAUAUGCUCUUAAUUCCUCAAAAUCCAUUUGAUACUAGAAAAAUCAUCUAAAAAUUAUAUCUGCUCCUUAAAAUUACCUAGAAAAUUUUCUAAUCACGAAAAUGCAGAAAACAAGUCAUGAAAAAUUCUAAAACCUAGAAAAUGAAAAUUACGGGUUCUCACAAUUUGCACUAGCACCCAUUCAAUCGUUCUUCACCCAAAUCAGUAAAAAAAAAAAUCGAGAAAAAAGAAAAUAGGCAAGAGCAAAACUUUUCCUCAAAGAAAAAAAAAUAAAAAUAAAACAAAAUGAAAAAGAAAGGAACUAAAAACUAUGGAUGUGGGAGAGGAAUGAAGUUCCAGCGGUGUAUAAUGAUUGAAAAUGUAGUCCAUGCAGACGUAAAGAUACAUGAUAGUGAACUCAAUAUGCUACACCACAUUUGGAAAAAGAUAAGAAAAAGAAUAUUUCAGCUUCAAAAACUUUGUCCCAUCACCUUUUAUUUUUGUUUUUUCCAAGAUGGGGGAAAAAAUCUGAACGAAACAAGUGAAGGAAAAAGGGGAUCUAAGGGGACACUAAUUUAUAACUUUGAGUGAAGGCUAAAUGAAAUGAAUCUUCCAUUGGACAAAUUAGACCAAAAGAAUUUUUAGGAAAUUUAACCCUUAUAAACUACUAUUCCUUUCGCCCUAUUGAAUGUGUCAUAUUUUUCAUUUUAGAAUGUUCCAAAAUAUUUGUCAUGUUGAAAAAGUUAAAACAACUUUUAAUUUAUCUUUCCAAUCAUAUGCAUGUUACCAUUCAAAUUUAAAAUUUGAAUUUGUGGAGGUAAAAUUGAAAAGAGAAACACAAACAUCACAAUCAAACCAUUAUUGUUAAAAAGUUGGAUUCCCCGAACAUGACUAAAUAAUUAGGAUGGAAGAAGUAGUAUUUUAAUUGAAAAUUAAUUGUUCUGAACUUCUAUCAUAGUUGCAUCUCCAUACAAAGGAAAAAUAAUAAUAAAGUAGGAGGUUUUGGAUCCAAAUUUUUCCGCUUACAAAGUAUAAAAGUAGGGAGAGGGUUAAGUUGAAUAGUAAUGUGAGAGGGAUUAUAACUAGAAAGUUUUGGAUUCAAUACCUCUCACUUACCAAGGAAAAAAAAGUUGCAUCUCCUUAUAGCUGAUUUUUUUUUCUUUCGGUAGAAAAUAGUUCAAAUGGAUUCGACUCCGGUCACAAUCAUAGGUCAAGGUAUGCUCUAGGAUCAUAAGUUGCUUACAGAGACUUUAACAAAUCACCCAUCAAAAAAAAAUUGCAUCUCCUUAUAGAUUAAAUCAUUUUUCUUUUGGUAGAAAAAAUUCGAGUGGACUCAGAUCCGAUCACAAUUAUAGAUCAAGGCAUGCCUCUAAAAUCAUAAAUUUUUAUAAAUUGCCCACCAAUAUAGUUCUAAAAAAAGAAAAGUUUUAGUGGAUUUGACUUCGAUUACUAACACAGGCCAGGGCAUGUUCUUCGAAUCAUAGAUCGUUUACAGGAAUUUUUACAAUUUGCUCAUUAAUAUAGUGCUCAUAUCAGCAGCGAGAGCAGCAUGUCGGGGCAUUGUUUCGGAACCAUAAAUCACUUGAGUACUUAUCAAUACAGUAUUUGCAUCGACAGCGAGAUUAAAUUUGAAUACACAAUUUGCUACCAAAAAAUGGUUCGCCCUUAUCAACUGUACUGGCCCAUGCACCUGAAUGAUUCUCGGUAGCCUCAUCUUGACUUCAUUGUUAACCUUAUCCUUGAGCCUCAGUUGUCAUAGGCAUCUUUUGUUUCUACAAGCCCCAGGAGAAAAAGCACUUAAGAAGUGCUGAAUUUUGUGACCAGAGCGACAAAAGGACAUGAACCUUUUAUUAUCUUAUCUCAAAUGUCAUGUACCAGGAUUAUUCAAACCUUUGAAAAAAUCCACAAUGCCUGCAAAACGUACGUUGGUACAGUAACAGGUUACUUUGGCUCCAUGCGCAUCUUCACAUGAGUUGUCAAUUUGAACAAGGGUUAACGAACCAUUGGGCCAAUGGCUCAGUGGCCACUAGGGAGGGGUUUAAGUUCCUCCUUGGACUGUAGGUGAGGGUUCAAAUCUCAUCUGCAGCAGAAAAAAGUUUAAGAGUUGUACUAGAACACUCUCUUGGUCUAGUUGGGUCUGUAUACAUCCCCUACCACAGUCUCCUUAGGCUCCCCCUCCCCCUAGAUUAGAAUAAAGUAAGUUAUACAAAUGUAUUUUUGCUGACAAAAAAAAAAAAAAACAAGGGUUAACGGCAAUUCGUAUCCCUUCACUAUUAUGGAUUUGUGGUUUGCAAUUAAAACUACUAAAAUUGUGGCACUUCAAUAUUUUUGUACUAUCAAUUUGUAGCGAAUAUUAUAUAAUUCAAUUGAAAAUCCAUGAACCCUGAUAGCUAUUUAUCAACAAAAUGAACUUUGUACACCGAAAUUAUCCAGAGUAUAAGGUACUAAACUCUUUUCGUCACAAAAUUGUUACUACAAUGUUUGUUGAUUUUCAAUUGAUCUAGAUAAUGUGCCACAAAUUGGCAGUACAAAGUACUACUAAAGAGCUAAAGAAAAUUGAGAAUUUUAUGGUGCCAAAUGCAAAAUGGAAAUUGAGCUAAAAUUGUUUGUCUAAUUGAUGGUUUCACGAGUAGUCAAGGAUGAACUAUUUGAUCUUGCGACGUAGUUAGAUGGGACUGAGAUAAGCCGUUUUCAUCUGGUCACUGAUUCAGAUACUUCCCCCAUAGAUCAUCACUCUCGUGCCAAGUCCAUAACCAUAUAUCUGUGGCCAGAGCUCCAUGACUCACUCAAUUUGCCAUGGGACGGAAAUGGGUCACCUCCCCCAAAUGUAGACAAAAUCCCUCCAUGUCGCUAAUGUGCCAUUCUCCCAUUGGCAGUGAUCCCAGCCCCUGCCACCACCCACCCACCCACCAACCCAUUGCUUACAUCUGCCAAGAAACAAAAUUAAUUUUCCAGCCCACUUGUAUUCAGUCUACGGACUGUACAGUGUGCACCAGACUAGAAUAAAGAGAAGUGAAAAAAAAAUAAAAAUAAAAAAAGGCCAGAAACUAAUAAUAGUAGUAGUAGUACUUUUACCUUCCUCUUCCUCCUUGUCCUCCUCCUCUUUCAACUUUUCAAUCCAUCUCAAAGUUUCGUUUCGUUUCAUUUCUCCAUGGCCACUUGCCAAACAACCGUCAACGACCUUCCGGAUGUGAUCCUCACCAAUAUCAUCGCCGCCAUCUCCGACGUGCGGAGCCGCAACGCCGCCGCCUUAGUUUGCCGCAAAUGGCUUCUUCAAGAGCGCUCCACCCGCACUUCCCUCACUCUCCGGUGCAACAUCCGGGACCUUUUCUUCCUCCCUACUUGUUUCCGAUCCGUAACUGACCUCGACCUCUCUUUGCUCUCUCCGUGGGGCCACCCCUUGUUAUCCCCCAACACUCCCACCACCACCGCCACCUUCAUAGCCCAUGUUCUCCACCAAGCUUUCCCUGCAGUCACUUCCCUGACCCUCUACGCCAGAAACCCAUCAACCAUACAGCUCUUGGCUCGUCAAUGGCCGUGUUUAAAGCAUAUUAAGCUCGUCCGCUGGCACCAGCGGCCCCCGUUGGGAUCUGGGGAAGAAUUGCUAGCUUUGUUUCAGGAGAACACAUCAAUCAUUAGUCUUGAUUUGUCCAGCUUUUAUUGCUGGACGGAUGAUGUUCCCGCAGCUCUAGUUGAAACCUCAAACUUAACCAUCCUUGAUCUCCUGAACCCUUCAUUUUCCGAAGGGUUCAAGGCUAAUGAAAUCAUGGACAUCACAAGAUCAUGUCCUAAUUUGAAGGUACUUCGCGCGGCUUGUAUGUUUGAUCCUAGGUACAUUGGAUACGUUGGAGAUGAGAGCUUGGUUUCGAUUUCGGUUAAUUGUCCUAAAUUAUCCGUGCUUCAUUUGGCGGAUACCUCGGCUUUGGUGAAUUCCAGGGCAGAUCCUGAGUCUGAGGGGCUUACUCCUGAGGAUGCUAUGAUCACUGUGGCUGCCCUGAUUGAGUUGUUCUCGGGGUUGCCAUCGCUUGAAGAACUGGCUUUAGAUGUUUGUAAUAAUGUGAGAGACAGUGGCCCUGCUUUGGAGAUGCUGAAAGUGAAAUGCCCCAAGUUGAGGUCACUCAAGUUAGGGCAGUUUCAUGGGAUCUCUGUGCCGAUCGAGUCAAAGUUGGAUGGGGUUGCGCUUUGUUCAGGGCUUGAAUCUUUGUCAAUUAGGAGUGUUGCGGACUUGACUGAUAUGGGUUUGAUUGCUAUUGGAAGAGGGUGCUGGAGAUUGGCAAAGUUUGAAGUUCAGGGUUGUAAUAAGAUAACCGUGAAUGGAAUGAGGACUUUGGCUAGUUUGCUUCGAAGGACUUUGGUGGAUGUCAAGAUUUCUUGUUGUAAGAAUCUGAAAGCAUCAACGUCAUUGAAAGCGUUAGAGCCGGUGCAGGAUCGAAUUAGGAGGCUCCACAUUGACUGCAUUUGGGAUGGUGUAGAUCAAUUUGAUGGGAUUCAGUAUGAUGUUGAUCUUAACGGAUUGGAUCAGGGUGGGGCAUCGAACCAGUCGGAUGGAUAUGUCAACUACUUUGGGGAUUAUGACAGUGAAAUCAUGUGCAGCAAGAAGAAGAGGUGCAGACACUCCUCUGAUCUGAAUUGCUCUGCUCUGCAAUUUAACAGCAGCAGCGGUAAUGGAUUUUGUAGCAACUCAUGGGACAGACUGCAAUGUCUUUCACUUUGGAUUGGCGUAGGUGAGCUUCUAACCCCAUUGACUGCUGCUGGCCUUGAGGAUUGUCCGAACCUGGAGGAGAUCCAAAUCAAGGUUGAAGGAGAUUGCAGGGAAUGGUCAAAACAUAAACAGUCCCCCUUUGGGUUGAGCACUCUGGUGCAGUAUCCUCGCUUAACCAAGAUGCAUUUGGAUUGUGGAGACACCAUAGGUUAUGCACAGACUGCACCGUCUGGGCAGAUGGAUUUGAGCCAAUGGGAACGAUUUUACCUGAUGGGAAUAGGGGAUUUAAGUCUCAAUGAACUUGAUUACUGGCCACCACAAGACAGGGAUGUUAACCAGAGGAGUUUAUCUCUGCCAGCAGCUGGACUGCUCCAGCAGUGUCUUACCCUUAGGAAACUUUUUAUCCAUGGGACGGCUCAUGAACAUUUCAUGAAUUUUUUCCUUAGAAUCCCAAAUCUCAGGGACAUCCAGCUGAGGGAAGAUUAUUACCCGGCACCAGAGAAUGAUAUGAGCACGGAAAUGAGAGCAGAUUCUUUAGGCCGUUUUGAAGCGUCUCUGAACAGACGCCAGAUUUCUGACUGAUACACAGCGAUCAGAGACUGGUGUGCAACCUAUGCGCGGUAACGAAGGAACAUGUUGUACAGCGUGAAUCUGUAACUGUUAAAAAUAAAUAAAUAAAUAAAAAAUUGUAACCCGCAUCUAGAUCUUUGACAUGUACAUAGAGGUGUCAAAAUGGAUGACUUGGGUGGGUUUGGGUUGGAUAAAAUGGGUAAUGGGUAUAAGUGAGUCAAUCCAUUUAUACCCAUUUAAUUAGAAGGGUAUAAAUGGAUAAGUCAAAAAAUGAAUUGGGUAACCUAAUACCCAAUUAUCCAUUUAUAACCUAUUUAUUUUAAUUUUUUGUAAAUUCAAUUAAAUUCAUUUUUGCAAACUAAGUUAUCAAUUUAUACCGCUCUUUGUACCCAUCAUUAGUUUUAAAUAUUUACUUAUAAUGUUCAAUAAGCCUAAUUACCAAAUUUUUUUCAUUUAUACUCUAUUUCACAAAAUUACAUAUUAUUUAAUAAUUGAAUAAUAAGAAUAUAAAAAUUUGAACUAAGUAUUAUAAAAGUUAAUAUAAAAAUUUAAUCCAAAAAUUUUUAACCCCUAACAUUUUUUCCAUAUAUAAAUUUAAAAUUUCAUUUUAGAAAGAUAAGAAAAGAGGCUCAAAUUUAUCAUAAAUUGGUAAUGCCGAAAAAUGAACAAAUUAACAAACUAAGAGAAAACAAAAUAAUAAAAUAAAACCAACAAAUAAUAAUAAUAAUGAAACAAAAGUAGUUAACAUCAUGACAAAAUGAAAAAUUUGAAAAAAAAAUGGAUGGGGGAAAAGAAGAGAUUUAGGGGAAGAGAAUUUUAAAUGGGUUAAUUGGGUUUGAUGGGUUACCCAAUAAUACCCAUUUAAUAAAUGGUAUUAUUGGGUAACCUAUUUAUACCCAUAUACAAAAAUUUAAAAUACCCAUACCCAUCUAUUCAUGUGCGAGUAUGGAUAAAUUUAGUUAAGUGGGUUGAUUUACCACCUCUACACGUACACAUAGGCUUUGAAGACUGAAAACCGGUUCGAAUUUUUGUCAUAUAUAAUUAAUUCAUGCGAUGAGGCUUCGCGGGAUGAGGAACUUAUUUUCCUACGCGCAAUAUGAUGCAUCCAGUUACCAUGCGUAACAUUUAAGAGUUUGAUUUCAACAGAAAUCGAUGAAAUGUAGUACAUGAAAUUCUACUACAUCAACCAUUAGUGUCGUCAACUCUUGACAAUGAAGGCAAUCUGUGACCUCCUCCAAUCUCAUAAAAGAGAUCCAUUUUCUCCUUUUUUUUUCUUUUCAUUUGUAUGACGGUAAAAUUUUCGAAUUGCACAAAAAGUGCUUAAUGUUUUUUUUUUUUCAAUUUGGUUAUGAAAUGAAAUACUACCUUCCUAAAAUUGGAAAAUCCACACAAAAUACAACUUGAGCUUGAGCCGAAUAUAUUGUAACACCUCUACUAUGUGUUUCUGUACAAUUAAAGAGAUUGCAUUAGCACAAUGAAUACUCGCAGUCGAGCAAGCGGGUAAGAAUGUCCUCGCAACUAGGACGUUCAUGCGGCUCUGCCCAACAAUCUGCAACCAGGAGAAAAGGAAAGGUGAGCUCCAACAAGCACAAAUGAGCUUGAGGUUGUUGCUUGUUACGAGUUUGACAAUAUGUGGAUAACCAGUUACCUGCAAUAAGCCUACCAAGAGGUCCUUCAGGAAUCUCCAACCGUGAUCCCUCAUUGGCAACAGCAUAAACCACCUAGAUUGGAAAAAGAAGGGUGAGUGCACUGUCACUUGCAGAGAAAAAUGGUCAAAAAUAUUUAUUGCACAAAUUACCUACAUGGGGGUGAUAAAUAUUGAAAAAAAAAGAAAAGAAGACUGACUAAAAUUUAAAAUUGAGAAUCAACAAACUAAAAGGACAUUCUAUAUCAUACCCUCUCUGGUGGUAUGCCCUCCCAGGGUCUACCUAGAGUGCACAGCUCCCACAUAAUAACACCAAGGCUGAAGAUAUCACAUUUCUCGGUGAAGGGUUCAUUGCGAAUAAGUUCCGGGGCCAUCCACUCCGGUGUCCCUGCAGAUGACGAGUCCCCCAUGGGAGAAUCUGUCAUUAUUCUUGAUAGCCCAAAAUCACAGAUCUUGACGGUCCAGUGUUUAUUGACAAGGCAAUUUGCACUUUUCAAAUCCCGGUGGACAAUCUUCAUUCGAUGUAUGCACAUCAGCCCUCUUAAGUUGCCAACAACAGAGACAGCGUUAAUUCAUAUUUUCAAGUCCCCAACAACAGGUUCUAACAAGAAAACCAGGGAAAUAAAACCAGAAGGCACACUUCGUGAUAUGCAUUUUAAAUGAAGAUUGGUUUAUUUGCUCACUCAAACUUGGACAUGCUAAGCAGACAUCAAAAAAGAUGGUUGGACAUGCAACAUUACAGGGGACAAAAAGGAGCUUACAAGAAUUAGGGACAAAAAAUCACAAGAGUGCGUGGCCCAUUUUAUGUAUUAAAAGAUCAAUACAAGGUCUCACAACUAUUAGCCUACCCCAUGUUCUGCAAUGCAUUUUCCCAGCAUGAAACAGUUGUCAACAUAGUUAGUUUGGAUGCCAAAACUAUAGGGCAACCCUGGUUUGCCAAUUUGGCAACAACAAUCUCAUUUUUGUCCCAGAAAUCAAAUCCAUAAUUAGACUAUCUGAAGCCAUCAAACUUCAAAAAGUGUAACUUACUAUUUCUGCAUUGCAACUGAUAAGUCCUAUGAAACCCUUUAUGGUGCAGAAAUUUCAGACUAGUUCCAAUCUUACAAAAGAAAAAUAUUAAACUACUGCCCAUAAAACUUGGAGCAGAUAAUAGAAAUGUUGCCCAAGGAUAAAACAAACCUGCAUAUGUCACGAAGCAUUUUUAGUCUCCUGCGCCAACUGAGUUUUUUCUUCUGACCACUUAAAUGAAUCAGAUAAUACAAUGACCCCAUCUCCAUGUAUUCGGUGACCAUUGAUAAAUGUGGGGGCUUUGUGCAGGCACCCAGAAAUAAUAUAACUGCAAAUAAGGCAUGUCUAUUAGUAUCUGAAAGGCAACUGAAUGUCUGUAUUCCCCAAACUGAAUGUGUUACACCCAUCCCCACUGCCCAAAAGGAAAAAUUUUGGGGUUACAUUUCUUCCCGAUAACUUGAAGUUGAUAUCAAGUGUAUAGACAAGUAACAGAGACUGUUUAAAUUGAUACAAGUUGAACACAGAAAAAAGGAGGCAAAGAGAUAUACCAUUUGGGUGCCGAAGGCGGCUGCAGAAAACAAAAUAAAAGCAAUAACAAAGGAUUAGAAGGGAUCUUAAAUAUUAAACCAACAGUCAAAAGCACAACUAAAAGAAAAUGCCAGUGUAAAAAUGAGCUGAACACCUUAGGAUGGAAAUCUCAUUGCAAAAGUCCUCCAUGUUUUCAGCAGUCAGAUCUUGCUCCAGAAAAACUUUGAUGGCAACAUCAGUUCCGUUCCAAAUGCCACGGAAAACUUCUCCAAAAAAACCUACGAAAGCACAAGGACAAAAGAUAUUCAAAAAGAGUAGGAAAUGCAAGACAGGAAAAGAAAAAAUAAACAACAGAACAUUGAGGUUUGCAAUAACUUUUGCAUGAAAAUGAAAAAAAAAUUAUUGUCAUCUUAUUCUAUAGUUCAUUGUUAAAAAUCAUUAUAAGAAAAAUCAAUAUGUAAAGCACCUCUGAUGUCAACAAUAAUGAGCCCCAGAAGCUUCAGGAAAUUGAAAUGUAGAGUUUCGAGCAAGAUGUAGUUUGCCCUUUGAAAAACAUCAUGAUUUAAGACACUGAUUCUAUGAAAAUGGAAAAAAAAAAUUUAUCAUCUUCUUAUUCUAUAAUUCAUUGUUGAAAAUCAUCAGAAGAAAAAUCAAUAUGUAAAGCAUCCCUGAUGUUAACAAUAAUGAACCCCAGAAGCUUCAGGAAAUUGAAAUGUAGAGUUUCAAGCAAGAUGUAGUUUGCCCUUUGAAAAACAUCAUGAUUUAAGAUGGCCUCUUUGAGCUAUCAAUUGCGCCAACCGUUCCUUUGAGAUCUUCCAUAGAAUUAAGUUACCGUAGGCAGCAACAACUUUAUUCUCAAGAAUUUCAUGAAAUCAAGCAUGUGGAAAUUACUGAGUAAUUAAGAGACAAACUUUAAAUAGCUAUGUGGUGUAUUUGCCUGUCUUUAUUUCAUAUUGGGUAUCAAAUUUUUGUGAAUAUCAUGUAUCACGUAAAUCAUGCUUAUAAAGAUGUAUUUGGGGAGGAAAAAAACAUUGAAAAUUAAAGCAUUUGAUGUGGAAAAUAUCCUUUUUGAUAAGCAAUGCAUUAGUGAUUUUUUCACAGUAACAGAAUGCCCAGGGACUUAAUUCAUUUUGUCUAAGAGCUUCAAGGGGCCAAUUUGAUGCAAGCAACAGUUCAAGGAAAAUGCUAGGAGAAUAUAGUUUGAGAGAACAACAUGCAUUUAAGCCCAAAAGUUUCUCAACCAACUACUACUAUCCCGAUGGGAAUCCAAACUUUCAAGAGGAUCUGUGGAUAACAAUUGCUUCCUUUCAAGGAAUUUGCUCUACCAAAAGUGAUUGAGAAAGAAAAUUUAUGGAAGACAUAAACAUCAAAGAGGAAACUAACAAGACAAUUGCUUACCAAUUCCAACACGAGUGCCAACUGUUAGUUCUGAGAAGUCAAUGUUCCACUCUUCAAAAGGUAAAAGAGGUUUAUUCUGGAACAUAGGCGAUCCAAGAAUUCUGUUCCAUGUUGACACCAUGUCAUCAUUUACCCUGUAGUUUGAUGUCCCACUCCUCUCAGGAGUUUGACUCCCAUAUUCAUGAGGAGAAGAAGGUAAUGACAUUGCCUUUUGAGAAUCAUUGUGCUCUCUCUGAAAAGAAUACAUGGAAGAUCUUCCACCAGAUAAAUCAUCCUGGUCACCAAGGUAAAAAUCAGAUACCUGAGGAGGAUAAUUCCACUUAGAAAGAAUAAAUAACUUAUCAGAGAUAAACCACUAAGAGAAACAUGAAAUUGAUGAAAGGCAGGAUAGAUGUAGCUCCAUUAAUUCUCCAUGUCAUUUGGCUUUCAGAUCUCUGGUACAUAAUUCAUUUUAUCAGUCAAGACUUCAGAAAGCAGGAGGAAACAACUUAUCUAUAAAUAUUACCCAAAAAUAAAUAAAUAAUAAAAACUGCCAUUAUUUUUAACAUUUCUUAGACUAAUUGCACACUUUUAACAAUGAAUUCAUAACAGAAAGUUUCAUAUUUGACACUUGAUACAAACCAUGAUGUAAAUACCAUCCAUUCCUGGUUUUGGACCAGCAUUGUUUGAUGCAAGAUGAUCAUCUUUUCUCAUGUUUGUAUUAGUUGCCCGGAAACAGGUCAAAAUGCAAGUCCAGAAAAAAAUGCAUAAAGACAAAAGGGAUCUUUUUGAGCCCAUUGACAAGGUCAAGUUGCUCACAGUAACAACAAGGUAGAUUCAAACAGGCACAUACCUAAAAAAAUGUUACUCAACUUGCAACCAAAGAGACUACAAAUGCAGAAGAAUAUGCAUAAAGUUAGAUGAUUGGUCAAAUAACGAACAUACAUCUUUCUGGACAUCCGACCUAUUUUCUCCUUGUCCUUUUAAGAGGCGAUUCUGCUUCAAUGUUUCAUUCAUUGCUCGAACAGCUCUAGCGUGAAUCAUACAACAGAGAGUAAUAAAGUUAGCAGAUAACAUUAAGCAACAACAAUUAAGCACUUCAAAAAUGUAACAUGGUAGCAUGAAAUCCACCACAAAGUGGUGAAACAUUUCUUGAUCUCCAACAUACAGCAAUUUUGAUGGCUAGUUCAGGUAUGAUAAUCAGCAUUACUACAAAAAUAGUCUAACACGCACAUUUCAACCACAAUUAAUGUGCCUAGUCAACAUGCUAAAAAAUAGCCAUCAACUAAAAAGCAGACAAUGUAGAAUUUAAAUUGCCAUGCCUCUGGUGUACUCUUGUAGGCCCAUUUCUUUUUUUCUAGUUGAGAUUACAUUCCUGACUCUUUUUACAAUAAGCUACUUUUCAUUGGUCUUAUUUUGUUUUGGCUUGUGUCUUUUGUUUCUCUAAACCAAAAUGCUUCUUCCUAUAUGCAUCCCUGAAUCUCUUCUAGAACAACUUUUACUUUCCAGAAGUUCCAUGGCAAAAUGCCUUUUUAACACCUUAAUCAAGAAUCAUUUUUUUUUUCCAGAAGCUAUUGAAAAGCUAAAUCAAAGGAGAUAUAGGGAGCCAGCUAUAGGGAGCCAGCUUAAAGUAAUGAGUAGUCAAAUAUCAUGAAGAUAUAUCUCUCCUCCCCCUCGAAUAAUUGAGACUUUUAACUACAGCAGAAUCAUAGAUCUCAGAGACAGAUACAUGAGGGCGCACAGCCCUGUUAAUUGUAUUAACCAACAAAUCCAGCAAUUAUUCAUGAAAGAAUUCUCAAGAACUCUCUGAGCCCUACAACCUCUUCUACUCUCAAGACUUGCACUAAAAACUCCUAAUUAAUCCUUACAUCAUUAGCAAGCUACUCCAACAAAUAGUAUCUCAUAUUAACAUUAGAUGAGCUUACUUUGAGUAUGAAUUAUCAAGUUAAGUGAGGGAUUCCAGUAGAUUCUACUGGUGAAAUGAAAGUAGAAGUAAUUCCAGAGAUAAAGUUCUUGACUAACAAUGUUCUAAAAAGAAAAAUGCUUCACAUUUGAAGUUCCCUAACACUACAUCUCUCUAUUCUUUCACCAAAUUUGGGAUACGACAAAAGGUGGAUUUACACAGGGAAACAAAUUUAUGUCUAGAAGACCGUCAAACAGCUUAGGAAAAAAUUGAUUCCUAUAAGAUGAUACUAAAAAUAAAUUAUCACAGAGGCCAUUGACAACAAAGAUAUCACCAAACAAACAAUAGAUAAAAAUAGGAGAGCUGAUAUCAACCUUACAAUAUCAUCACCAAUUUCUGGAGUUAUACUGAUGCUUCUUCGUCUUAAUCUACGAGUCUCUGAUGUUGAGGCACCUUCAGAUCUGUUGCUACAUUUGCAUCAAAGAUCAGUAGCAGUAAAGAUUGAGAAUUUGAUUAACAAGAGAAGAAAAAUAUGUAUUGUUCAUUGUACUAUCACCCUAAGGUAUGAGUUUUGUAAAAAGCAUCCCAUGAAAAUAGCUGAAUGAUUCUAGUUAUGGUACUUCUUAUCCAUAAAAUUUGAUUAUAGAGCACAACAAAAAAAGAAAACAAAAUCAAAUAAAUGGUUACUAAUUCCAAGCUGAUAAUCAAAUGAUAACUCAAUGGACUGCACCAAUCUCAGCAUAGUUGAUAAUAGGAUUGAUGAUAGCCCUGCAUAAGACUUCAGUCAAAUAAAGUACUCAAAUGAUUUUGUCUCAUUGCUCGUCUUCAUUAAUUCUGCAGACCAGAAUACCAGAGUCAAUACUCAGUGAGGUGACAAUUUAGUAGGGCGUCUUCAAGAAGUUACUUAUGCAUUCGAGAUCCUUUACUUUUUUUCUUAAUCUGUUGUCCCCCCCCCCCAACCCACACAAAAAAGAGGAAAAAUAACUCAGGAACAAAGAUACUAAACAAGCUAACAAGAAAAGGGGCUAUUCUGGACUUGAUAGUAACCCCAGUUUCAUAAAUUCACAUGUUUUUAGCUUUCUUUGUAGCAAAUCCUGUUGUGAUGUACAUUUUACAAAUUAAAGAUGUCAUGGUACUUGAAACAUAUGUUCAAUGCAGUUAUACAGAAAAGCCAAUAGCUCAUGAUGCAUCUAGCUACACAAUUUAAGUGCUAAGAGUCUCCUAGUUAAUCACAUUCUUAAGCACUAGAGAUCCUUAAUUUCUAUGUCUCUGUCCCUAGAAUGGAGUCCUCAUAAAGAGAGGGAAGCCAUGCUGCAAAAGUAUGGAAGGCAAAUUCCAACUUAACUGCAUAAUAAGCACACUCUGAACCGUCAGUAGCACCACUCAAUAGAUUUUCCUCAACACUAGCCCUGGUGAGCCAGAAGAGAUAGAGCAGCAUAUGUAUACCUAUGUCCAUCUAGCUUGUACGUAAUUGAACAAUGGUGUGCCCCACCAUCAAUCACAGGAUAAGAAAAGUUUAAAGUGAGGUUUAAUGACAUCAUCAAGAAAGUUAUCUUACCAACAUAGGGAAGGGUAUGCUAAUUAAACAAUUUCUGUAAGUACAUUAGAUAUUCCAGUUAUAAGUAAAAUCAUGUGAAUCAUGCUAUACCACAAACUACUCGGUGCAUUUUUUGAAAUGAGAACAAGAAGAUGCAUUAGAUUCAUCAAAAAUAUUUACAAGUCACCAUAUGUGGUGUUUUUUUAUUACUACUCAGUGCAUUAACAAGGAUUAGAAAAGCAAAAGCCAAAACCAGACAAAAGAGUGUAUUUCUCUCAGGCACCUUGAUGUAGCCAUAUCAUCAGAAUAAUCUCUAAAUGUUCUGUUAUCACCGCUAAGCAUAGAGCGCCCACGAGCACGAGAUGAAGGAUGCUCUGGACUGUGAAAUACAAAAUGCAAAAGAGUUAAAAGCAUGUAGAUUAAAAGGUCUCAUGGAUAGCUAAACCACACACUGCAAACAGAAGAGGGGAGAGAGAGAGAGAGAGAGAGAGAGGGAGAGCAGCCCAAGCAGCCAUCAGAACUUAACAACUGCUACAUACCAAAUAUUGCCUGAUUUAUAGAUAAUAAAUACUGUCAGUCAAAUGAUUACCCAUAGAAAAACUGUCAGCCCACUUGCAGUUACAGCUGAUAUUUUAGAAUUAUCAAAGUUUUCAAAUUGUUUGCACAUUAACACAAGAUGUAUAAUUAAAAUAAUAAUGACUUAGUCAAGGAUGUUAUUUUCAACACAAUGAUCAGUUUAUACUUCUAAGUCAUCCUACUAAGCAGGCUUACGUCACUCUAACUACCUAGUCUAGGACCUUUACCUCUCCACCAACUUAUAUUUUGUACACCAGGGUUAUCUGCUCCUGAGGCAACAGGCACCACCUCUGUGGCAAAUAUUUAAGUGUCCUCAACAAAGACAAAGUUGUCCUUUGGACAGAUGAUUAAAAAUUCAUUGCCACAUCUAGAAUGAUUUGAAACAACAUAUUAAGAUCAUACAAACAGAAAAGCAUCAAGAGGAACCUUGAACUAGCAGUCCUUUGUUCAGCAAUGACCCUUCUCCUGCUCCUUCGCCAAAAGGUAGCCGCAAUAUUAGGUUCGCUAUGAUAUGAACUGAUACAGUAAAAUAGUUCCAAUAAACACCAGCUAUGUAAGCAAUAGAAUAAGAUUUAACUACGCAUACAAGCAUCCGUCUCUAAGAUCCACAGUGCAUCAAAAUUGUACUUCAUACAACAUUCCACUUUUAACGCAAUGCCAGUCUUGACUAAAAUAGUACCUUAAUUUUCUAUCAACAAAAGUAGAAGAGCGCAACAUCGCAUUCCUCAAAGAAGGCUCAGCAGCGUUUGAAGAAGCUUCAAGUCUCCUCUGGUAUUGAGGGCUAUCAUCCUUAUCAGUACUGUAACAAAUGAAACUAUGCAAUCACUGUUGAAUCUAGAAAGCAAGGGAUUGAUCUAGAUAGCUUCUAACUAGAAAACUUCUUCUGAUGGAAAGAAAAAUUUUGAAACAUUUCCAUGUCUCAUUAAAAAGAACAAGGUAAAGGAUGACUAAUUAGGUGAAAACAUGUAUGUUUAUGCAGAAAAUAUAAAAAAGGUUCUAACCCCUCAGGAUCAGCUCUAUCCGAAACCCCAUAAAGAGGACUAUUUGGCUCUAAUGGUGAAUCGCAGGAAUCAUUUUCUGCAGAGUCACUUUCCCCAGCAGCAGAUAUAUGAGUCAUAUAAAUUGCUUUAGUCGAUAGGGGUAUAAGCUGGCCAGGGAACCGCAUAAGAUCAACCAAAAGUUCCACAGAAUUCAAAACCACUAGAACAGACAUAUGCUUGUAUGAGUCUACACACUCUGAAUUUCCUUCAGUAGGCAAACCCUGAGAGGAGAAUUACAUGUAAAAGUAUAAAGACAAAUCAGAAAAAGGAACCACAUAAAAAAGCAUGCCAGAGAGAAUUUGGAAAAUCCUUUACAGACUCAAACCAAAAUUAACCUUGCCACUUGCGAGCAGUCAAUACACAUGCAACCAAGAAAAUUAAAAGACAUCUCCUUGAUUGUCAUUUGGGGUACAAAAGCAAAUUUAGACUCAUAAGCAGAAACACAAAUAGAAAAGGGAAAAUUUGACAUUCCCUGGGCCUUUUCACUGGACUAUGAAGUCAAAUGUCUGACAUCCUUUUUUUAAAGGAAUAGGAGGCAUAUCAAAUUUAGUGGAGUUUACGAUGUAAUAUCAGGGUGUCACAGGCAGCUAUUUAUUGAGGCAUUAGUCAUAGAAGAAGUUAACAUUUCUGGAAUUAACGUGGAAUACAUUCAUUAUUCUGACCAGAAGUCAUUAGAAGGGGAAGUAUUAUAGAAGCUGAGAAUAAAGCCAACAGACAAAACGCUGCUCAGACUUUUAUGUGGCAUCACCCAUAGAUAAUUGGUGCACAAAUAGAAGUGCAAACCCUUCUACAGCUAAAACUUACCACCAUUAGCCUACUCUCAAUGCCAACUGUAUCUGCAAGGACUUUGAAUAAUAUUGCUCGAGGCCGGCAUGAACCAUGCUUUAUUUGUCCAAGCAUCUGAACACCUCUAUUUUCAGAAACAUGAGAGGUUUCUUCCAGUAAAACUUUUCCAGGACUAAGUUCCACAAUUGGUCGUUUGUAGAAGUCAGACACCUGUUCAUAUGUAAUAAGAUCAUGAGAAAGCAGAGAAAAUACUUAAUGGACCAACGUUAUUAAUAACAGCAUCCCAAACACCAGUAUAAGAAUAGUAGAACAAGGUCCACAAAAACAAAAACCAAAAAUAAAUAAAUAAAUAACUAUUAAAAAUAAAAAAUUUUAAAUAAAUCAAAGGUUUAGUCAUUGAAAAAAAUUUUAGACGCAUGCUAAACUUCUUUAUAUACAGGAAGUGAAAUGCAGGACAACAUAAAAAAGCCCUCAAAAUUCCAAAUGGGCCCAUAUCAAGACCCUAGACGUCCUCACACAGAAAAUUCAGGUGUAGAACAUCAACAAAAUUACACAUGAUCAGAAGCUAUGCAACAUAACAAUGACAUUGAAGUCCCAAUUCACAAUAAAUCAACAAGCAAAAUGUUCAUUUACUUCAUGAGACACCUAACAACAGGAAAAGUAAUGUCUAGGUAAUACGCAAAGCCUUCCUCUCAACAAAAUAGAGAAGAAAAUUCCUAAGGCUACAAACAAAAUAAAAAGAAAAAGGUUGUGUAGCAUCUUAAAAACAGCUAGAGUCAAAGCAAAACGUUUAUCAGCUACCACAAGAUAUUUAGCAUGCAAACAUUAAAAUGCUGCACUAAGAUCAAUGAAGAGAUAUGGACGAAAACAGAGUUUGGAAAAGACAGUAAUACUUUAUUUAAAACCAGAAUUUAAAUAAUCCAAGAAAUCAGUAACUGUCUAUAAGAGCAGGAUCUAAUAAAUACUGACCAAUCCAGCAAUCUUUUUUAUUGUCGCCGCAGGAUUUGAAUUCAGACCUUUAACCAGGGUAGCAAUUAGUUGCUUUAGCAUGGAAAUCUUUUUAUCUUUCUCCACAUCUACAAGUAUAAUAUCAGCUCUUAAACCCUGAAGCUCCAAAGCCUGAAGCUCAUCAAGAGUAGGAAUAUCUUCAAAAAGCUCCUUAAGCCUUUUCUCCUGCAAAAAACAGGUAGCAGCAUGAACAACUGCUCAAAUGGAACAAGAUCAAAAGAAAUCACCAUUUAUGGUUGACAAUCCAUAAAGUCCUAACGCCAUCAAGCAAGAAAAAUGCUCGGAAACAAAAGAUGGAAAUUCUCAGAGAGUACCAUUUGAAAAUAAGAAAUUUAUUUUUCCAAUUUUUUGCACUCCUUUUCAGCGGGGAUGCCUUGAAUAAAAAUGCAGUUCCAAUAAGAGGUCUUAUGUUAUUUGACAAGUAAAAUAUUUUCACCACAUGAGCACAUAGUACCUAGAAAUGUAUGAAACUCAUUAUACCCUUGAUAUACAAGCUAGCUUAUUCUUUUCAACAUAAAUUUUUUACAUAACCAAUUUUUAACAUUGCAGUGACGUGUAAUUUGCAAUAUCGAUAAGCAUCAAACUUCAUGAAUUAAAAUACAUGAACUGAAUGGCAUCUCUGAAGGCACAUGUUUGCCGACAGAAACUUUCUGUGUCUAAUAAUGAAGAUAAAACAGCUAAGAUCUACUCCAAGAAAAUACUCAAGCUAAUGCAAACAACAAUUAUUUUUUAGAAGCACGUUCAUGGACUUUCGUUUUUCUUGUUACCAGUGGAUUCAAAGUGACAGCACCAUUUUCGUGUUCGCAAAAAUUCAUAAAGUGAUGAUAAUCUCUAUAGCAUUAAGUUCGUUAAUCAGCCAAAGAAAAAAGGGCCCAAGCACCAUGCAUUUUAGAUGUGAUUUACCAGACACAACUUGCCAUAAUUACAAUACCGACAAAACAAGUUUGGUGCUCACAGGAACAACUGAAUAGAAACCAUUUGGAAUCGCUUCUGAAAGCAUUCCAGUGCUCCAAAGGAUCUGUGACGCCAUCUGAUGUGGUGAGCAAUCAUAUUCAUCUUUAUUAAUUGAUUUUUUAUUCCUUAGAAUCUCUUUUUCUUUAGAGUCUAAAGACACAGAUCCAAUUUUUUCAACAAGAUCUGGCGACCACCAUGUAGCACCAGGAGGCCUCUGCUGUGAAGGCCCUGCUUCGUCUUGUCUCUCUUCCAUGUUGAUGAAUGAGCAAAAUAUAGCACCAUCUCAUAGCCAACUCUUAGCCCAUUGACAAGCUUAUUGAUGCCAUAAUUAUUUAGAGACGAGACAACAUUGUCUACAAUUUUCACUUCCUCUAAACUCAAAAAAGCUGGAGGCCAUGCGACCUGUAAAAUGAAACUAAUGGUUCAAUAUUAGAUGCACUGAACGUCACAUUCAAGAACCAAAAAACCCCAACUCCAAAAAGAAAGGAAAAAGACAAGAUCAUGCAAGAUAGGGUUACCAACUUCUUGAAGACAAGUAAACAACAAGAGAAAACAAAUUAGGAAACAUGCUACAAUUAAAAAGCUUGAGCCUUUUGACAUCAGAUAUAGGUAAUCAGUAUCUUAUAGCAAGAUAUAAAGGAGUCAAAUGCAAACGUCUCACCAUCCUAGAUACAGUUCUCUACAUCCCUCUGUGGGAAGUUUUAAAUACAAAUUAUUAAUAUUUCCCGAGUUCGUUUUACCAUGGAAAAGGUAGGGUCGCAAUAUAAUGCUUGUCAUUUCCUAAUAGUUCAAUAAAACCAAAGAGUGAUGCCACGUGCUUUCGACCUUCUUCUUUAAACUUAAUCAUUAAUGUUAGUGAUUUUAGUGCUUAGUCAAACUAUGAAACUCCAACAUUGAAGCUUCAUUUCCUCAGCAUUACCAUGAUUGACAGCAGUAUACAAUCUAAAAUUGCAUAAACAAAUUAAUUGUCCUGGCUACUUGAUCAAGGAUCACAGAUAAUGCCAGACCAAUUAAUCCUUCCAUCAGAUAAACUGGCUUCAAACUCUGCUUUGUUAAUGCAACAAUAGCAAACACUAACAAUGUACCCCUCAGAAAAAUUUAACUACUCAAACUUCUCUCCCAAAUAUGAAUUUAUUAUGCUUCAAGGUCCCACGACCAACUUCCAGACCUACAGUAGCUUCUUAGCGUCUGCAAACAAGUUAAUAAGAGAUUCAACUAGUCUACUCUGCAACAUGAUUUUUCCCGAAAUGCUCAAGCUCUUUAGCAGUCUAAAGAUUCUAAAGAAAACAACGAUACCAGCAAAACAAAAACAAUUAUCACUCCCAACAGAAACUCAAUGAUACAUCCCUUAGCAAAUUCUAUAUUUAACCCACAAUAAUUACAAAAAAGAAAAUGCAACCACAAUGUCCAUAACAACAUCAACUGAAUUCCGAGAAUCCAUCACAAAGUUAGCAAUAUAUCCUGCAAUGUUAUUGCAAUAAUCAAGAAAAACCAGAAAACUCAAAAGCAAAAUCUGCAAUACAAAUUUCCACAGCAUCCAUUGGAUCCUAGAUCUCCACCAAACACACUCCUCAACAAACAGAAACUCGAUCACUUUUAUACUCUUUUUUUUCCGUUUCUUCUUCAAUCCUAUAUUUGCUUAUAUCAAUUCAAUCAGUUCAGUUCAGUCCAUCAAAAAAUUACGCAAUCCAGUUCAUAUUAGCCUAAAAAACGAAAUCCGUUCACUCUAACCAACAUUUCCACCACUUAAUCAGACUUCCGCAAUCCAAAAUUCAUUUCCGCCGCAUUAAAUUAACAACAAAUUCAACAAUUAUCACAAAACUACUGCGUGAAAGCGUGUUUCUGAGUUUGAUCGAGGAAAUUACCACCAGCAGAUCUCAAAACUUGAAUCUGAAGUCUACUCCACUGGCGCCGCUUGAAAGAAAUAGUAAUCGCAUUUGAAUUCUAACGCCUCAUGUCCAAAACAAACGAAAAAAAAAUAAACUAAAAACCAAAAAAUUUUAAAAAGAAAAAUACGGCUAGCAAAAGAACAGUAGAAGUUUUUGAAAUGGAGUGAAGAAACGGAUGAUGAAUAUGUAGAAUUGUAGAGAGAGAAACGCUUAGAGAGAGAAAGUAUGAGAUGCAAACAAGGCAAGACAAUAUAUUGAGAGAGAACGAGGGCGAGGCGGGGGUUGGAUUUGAUUAUAUAAAUUUGGGACUGUAAUUAAUGAUCCGGACGAUGGCGAAAGGGAUUGGCUUUUUUGUUUUUACUUACUUCCUUUUCUUUGGUUUUCAUGAUGUACAACAUCAGGGGCAUGAUGUACACUUUUUUAAAGCGGAAUCGCUAUUGAGGGAGGACAAAGUACUAGCGUUGAUGCAGUCGGUACGACAACGAGAGAACUCCUACGAGAGAAGCUUUUUUUGGUUUACUUUUCUUUCAUUAUUAUUAUUUGUUCAGAGGCACAAAUAAAGGUUCAUUAUUUCCCUUGGUUUUGAAUUUUUUUAUUUUAAAAAGCAAAUUUUUAUAAAAAAACAAAUGUUUUUUAUAUGCGCUCGAUCACUAUUUUCUUUAAGUUUUAGAUUUCUCAAUGCAUAAAAAAAAUAAAAUGUAAUAUAAGUGCAAGAAUUGUGGCCUUCAAAUUGUUCAUUUGAAAGUAUUGAAACCAUCUCAAUUAGAACUUCUCAAAUACCUAUUAUUAUUUUAAAUUAAUUAAAACAUUUUGCAAAAAUCUACAAUGAUGGAAAACAAGUGCAUAGUGUCAUUAAAUAAAAUGUCAUUCUACUACAUCGUUAGUACUAUGUAAUUGUACUAUUGAUUUAAUACAUAAAUUCUAUUGGUUUAAUACUUAAUCUAAUUUUCUUUCAAAUAAAUACUCUAUAACCUAAUAUUCUUUUAAAAAAAUACUCUAUCUAAUAUUUUUAUUAAUCUUAUACUGUGUAAUAUACACUUUUAAAAACUUGUUUCUAAUAACAGAGGAGUGGAAUUAAAGGAGCGAGGAAAGAACAGAAGAAAUUAGAGUCCAGAACUUCUACAUUACGAGUAAUAUACUUAACCGUUUAUAUAUUAAAUUAAAUUCACAAUAUGGUAGGAAAAUGUGGUAAUUUUUCUUCAUUUGGUGAUUUGAUUGAUGAGACAAAGGAAUGAGAGAAAUAGAAGGAAAAAGAGUGUGAGUGAAUAGAAAAAAAGGGGUAAAUACUAAAUAAAAGAGGUGGGAAGGGGUGGAGGUUUUGUGAGUCACGUGCAAAGAGGGCGCGAAGAAAGGCAAAGACGUCCGACAAGCCAGCUGGCAAAGUGGGGUGGAUCACCAACGUCCACACCUUCGUCCGCGUGAACCUCUUUACAAGUCUCUCGUGCAUAAAGUUCUAAUUUAGCCCUUUUGCUUUUGUUUCCAGGGUAAUUCCCUUUUUUUUCCCUUUCGUUUUUCUUCCCAAGUGUCAAUCAAUUCAAUUCGACUACAAGUGGUACAAAAGUUAAAUGACAAAUUUCACACUUAAUGCACUUUAAUUAUCCACGCGUGUGCAGUUACAUUUCUAAAAUUACGAAGAUCUCCUUUACUUUAAAAAGAAGAUUAUACACAUCUUCUCUUUUUUUUUACUUCUACUUUAGUUGAGAUUCUAAUAUCCUCUUCAUAAUGAACCAAAAAAAUUGAAUAAGAUUGACCUUUGAUUACAAAUUUAGAAAAUCAAACUUUCAUCAAAGAGAGAGCAAACAAAAGAGAAUUGUGAAACUUCUGGCACAUCAAGAUCGUGCUAAUUCAUACCCCAAUAAAUCCUUGAAAAAUAGUUGUUUUAUGUGAUAAGAUGAAAAGAAUUGUAUGUAGGAAAUUUUAAAUUCAAAAUCCUCGUUCCAAAAAAAGAAAAAAAAUCCUUGUGCUAACUUAAAUAUGGUUAAUCUAUUCUUCAAAAUAAAGACGCAUUGAACCAACAACCUUUAAAAGACAGCCUAAUUUUAGGAGGCAAAAAUUCCACAGGAUGCGCAAUCUAAAAAUUCAUUACACGCUUAAAAAUCAAGUUAAAUGAACUCAUGAAGAAAUGUAUGGGAAAUUUCAAAGCGAAGACAUCGAAUCAAAACAAAUAAAAAAGAGUACCAAGUCAAUCAACUAAUGAAGAUUUCCUAAGAUGUGAAGGCGCUAAACCACAUCAAUGCUAACAACCAUGCAUGAACAAGUGGGUACACAGGAGUACGAAAACCUAAGCUAUUGAAAAUUGCCACUUCUGCCGAAAAAGUGGACCAAAAGCACUUAAUGAGACCCGUUCAACUUCCACGUUUAAGUCGUUUCAUUAGAGAAUUAAAGAUAUCUGAGUCAAAAUGACAUUGGGAGGUUAGUCGGUCUCCUGUGGAAUAUUGCCGGUAAAAAUCCCUUUCAGUUACUUAGUCAUUAGUCAGAUUAGGUCACUAAACAAGUUUGAAAGAGAUGUUACUACGGAAUUUGCAAUGUUAGUGGUACUAUAAUCCUUAAGAUCUUUCUUAACUAAUGAUUAAUGAGGUCAAUCCAUCCAUUCUUAUGUUCACUUUCAUGCUCAUUACAUAAAUUGUUCACAUUUGUUUGUCAAAUAAUUUCCUCAACGAGAAAAUUUAUGCACUCUAAACUUGAAUUAGCAAAAGGUUUUCGUUUUCAUUGUAUAGCUGGAAAGUUGGACUGUCUGUUUUGCAUGAAAGUUUCAUUUGGUCCAAUUAUGCAAGCUCGAAAAUAGGAGUGUAAACGAGUUUAAUCAAACCGAACAUUCUAAUGUUCGAACAUGUUUGAUUAUUUUAAUGAGUUUAUAAUUUUGUUCAAGUUUGACUUGUUUAUUUAUCAAAUCGAGAUUGUACGAAUUUUUUAUCGAAUUUGAAUGUUAUCGACAGUAAAAUAUCAUUUAAAUUUGAUUUAAUUAAUUAGUGAAUCAAACUCAAAAAGACGUUCAAUUCGAGUAUCGAGUAGUUUAGUUCGACUUUCAAUCUUACUCGAAGUCUUACUCGAAGUAACGCUCAUUGCAAACGGACUGGAUGUAAGUCGAGCUCUAGCAAGUCACUAAGACCCAAGAUUUCACUCUCUGCUGUAGUGGGCCGUUCUGUCUAAACUGGGACUAACAAACCCAACUUCGAAGACCUUAAUCAGCGGACCUCAACUUGUAAUUCAGGGAAUAGCCCAGCUGUAACACUUGGACCUCAACUUGUAAUUCAGAGAAUAGCCCAGCUGUAACACUUGGACCUCAACUUGUAAUUCAGGGAAUAGCCCAGCUAUCCCAUAACGUGUUUCACUUUCUGUUUGAAGCUUCAAAACUGAGAAGUAAAUACCUAAUUACAUUUACAUUUCGUACCUUUGAUAGAACUCUAUUUGGAUUGCAAAUUAUUUGAGAUAUUUUUAUUGUAACACUUUUUGUGAUGUGAUGUAUGUGAGAUAAAAAGGUGUGUUGGAAAUUGUAAUGAUGUUGUAAGCAAAUAAAUUUUGACAAAUAAUCCUCUAUCCAAACAAACCCUACUUUUUAUCCUUUUCUUUUUGGUUUGGAGUGCCUUAGAGUUUGGAGGGUUAAAAGCCCAAAAUUGUGUACAACCUUGACAUAGAACCUCUCAAUAAUAUCCGAACAUGUGGCCCAAAUGUUCUCCGUUUCCUGAUCCAGUGGGCCGUCUAAUUCCCAGUGGGCCUCGCACCAGGCCCAAUAAAUACUAUCUCAUGAAUAAUGUUCCAAUAUAUGGAACAUCCGUUGGAUUCAACAGCUCAGUCAGAGGACAACUGGGCCAAUUUGUUCCUCGUGGGCCUCGCACCAGGCCCAGUCAAUAAUAUCUGAGUAUAUUUUUUUGAGAGGUUCUAUGUUAAGGUUGUAGGUAGGGAUGGCAGUGGGUCAAGUAUUCUCGAAAAUUUCUUUUACCAAAUCUUAACUCGCAUAUUUAAAUAUAUUUACCAAAUCUUGUCGGGUAAACCUAUGGGUUUUAAUUCCCAUUACUGAACCCUUCCACUUGUGUGGUUGAAUUAUCCAUUGGGUACUCUCUAUUCAUUAAUAUUAAUAGUUUGAAAAAGGAAAAUUAACAUUUUAUCAAGUUAAAAUCAAUACAUAAGUCGAGUUAAAUUAGCGCCCUAUAUUGAGUUUUAAACUAUUGUAAAUCCAUAGAACUUGCAUGGGAAAAAUCCAACAUUUAGUGAAGGGUUAAAUCAACAUUCUUGUAUUUUUAAUUAUAAUUAACUUCAUUUGUGUUAGGUUUGAGUUACUCGUCGGUAGCUACUCAUGAGACAAAAUUCUAAUGGAUAACUCAUCGAGCAUAUAACCGACUUAACCAUCGGAUUGAAUACCCACAAAUAUCAAAUGUUAUCUUACCCAUUGCCCUCUCUAGCAAAACAAAUUUUUUAAGUUUGACUAAAUUGAGACUUUAGGAAUUAAAUGAUUCUGGACUCAAAUCCUCCCCUACCCUCCUCGUUUUUCGAGUCCCACCCAUUUCUUCCCGGAAAUAAAAAAAAAAGGGUUUUUUAAGCUAGAUUUUAUCGGACUUUUGACAUCCAGCUAGCUCCAAGUCGACGCAAGACAAGAAAAAGAAAUUCAUGUGUUUUGACAUAGACUUGUAAUCAAUUGUAGGUCUAUUUUGGUAGACAAUAAUGCAUGCACCAUACUGCUCGUAAGUAUGUACAUGUCUUCAAGUAUGUGUUUGAUUACUACUGCCCCUAAAACUGAUACCACGAAACCUGUGACUUGUCCAAAUGCAUACUAGACUGCCAGAACACUAGAACGACGACAGUAGAGUAGUUGACUCAACCCCAGAUCAAUAAAACUGGCGGACCAUGCGACGUGAGGAUCACAAAUUUUUAAUUUCUUACAUAAAUAUAAAUGGGACAAUCCUCUUUAUCAAGAUUGGCAUAUACCCUUGGGAGCAAUUCACUCUAAAAACAUAUAUCCCAACAUUAGUGUGUUUGGACAGCCAAUUAUUUGGCCAAAUAUAUUUGCUGACAUCACCAUUACAAUUUCCAAUACACCUUUUUAUCUUCCCAAUUACUUUUUUAUCUCACAUACAUCACAUCACACAAAGUGCUACAGUAAAAAUAUUUCAAAUAACUUACAAUCCAAACACACUAUAUCUAUCCGUUUGGAUUAGCUGUUUCUGGGGGUAUUUUUGAAAAAUUUCACUGUAGCAGAGUUUUUGUAGUAUAUUUUAGAAAAUAUUUUGAAAUAUUUAAAAGUAGAAGAGUUUUUAGAAUAUAUUUUAAAAUAUUUUUUAAACAUUAAAAAAAUUUAGACUACUUUGUAGACUACCUUUUAGAGUAUUUUUUAAAAAUUUUAAUAAUAUUUAAAAAAUUAAUUUUUGAAAAAUUCAGCAAUCCAAAAUAUUCAUCUUUAUGUGAUGAUUUAGAAGUCAUUAAUAUUAUCUCAUGCACUAAACUUUAGUACCAUCUUCUUGAGAAUUAAAUGCAGACUCUGAUAUUCACAGUCUCAAGCUCCCAACCAUCCUUGUCAGGGGACAUACCCCACCUUAUCAUAUGUUUGCAAUUGUCAUCACCUUGUUUGAAGACAAGAAGAAGAAAGAGGAAAUUAUUGCUGAAACUUGCACGGAAUUUUGUUAGGAUUCGAGAAUCAAAGCAAUUGGAAUCAUACCAAAUCUUGAAAAUCUUAGUAGAAAAAUCAUGGUCCUUCGACUUGAUCAUCUCAACUUACUUUUCUCACGACAAAAUUGAUUUUGGUAAAGAACUAUUAUGACAGAAGAAAUGUCUCGUAAUAAAUGUGAAAAUCACUAAAAAAAAGAAAGAAAGAAAGGGGCGAUUAGUGUAAUAUCAAAAAGAUGAAUUGUCCUUCAAUAAAGUUAAUCAUUCAAGCUUUCAGUGGCACAAAAAAGAGUAGUAUAGAUCACUAAAAGGAUACUUUCAAUAAUUAGCUCUUAAGUAAUCAUUACCAUACAAAAGAUGCUGAGGUGUUCAAAAUUAGUAUCGUGCCAAAUCACCAAACCAAUUAUUUAAAGUGCCAAGUUGAAGGGCAACAUGGUCAGAAAAUUCCAUUUCCCCAGACUUCCACAGUUCAAAGAGCCCAUAUCCCUUUGCUAGCCUUAUACAUGUCUGUGACUAGGCCUUUGAUGGGACCCCAUUUUUAAAUAAAUGUCGUCACAUGAUCCAAAACAGGUCACCAAUGGGGCAAAUUUAAUAAAUUCUCUAAACCAAGAAAAGUAUUGAUUCUCGUAAACUUGUAACAAGAUUUUAAACUUGGAGGUUGGAGCUUGGAACUUGAAAGUUGAAACCAUACUCAUAUUUUAUUCCCUUUCUUCACUGGCAAGGGGUAAGCUAGCUAGGCAAGAAAACCAGAAAAAUCCAAGAAGAAACAGAGCGUUAGUCUGCAACAAUUGGGUUGUUCUUACCUCAGCCUCAUCUAUCCCUUUCUCCCUGUCCCUUUCACGUUCUUGGUUGGUUGCUUUCUUUUUCCAGCUUUUGUAUAGUCUUGUUGAUGAAUGCUUGUAUGGUUGACGCCUGCUCAAUCAUCCAAUCAAGAGUUCAUCAGUUCGGUGGAGUUGAGUUCAUGUACAAGUUCAAGAUCCUUUUUUCAUGAGAGGUACCUUCUUUGAUUAGUGUAAAGGGCUGAACCCAAGUUUCUUUAUUGCAAUAAAUGCUGUUUUUGGUUGAGGUAUUGCUGGAGUUUUGGCUGAGAGAUGGUGGUUUUUACUGUUUUGUUUUGUUGUGCGUUUACUUUUGUUAAGAGGGUUGAAGUUAGAGAUUAGAACUACUGAAUUUAAUACGAGGUGGAGAAUAUUUAUGGGUCUACUUUGUUAAAGUGAAAUUGAGAUUAAAGACUCAAUCUUGAUAUGCGAAAUGCUCUUGGAUUGAAUCUUGUCCUUUUAAUUGCAUGUCAGGAUUACUACACAGGGGGUAGAUUCUUUUGCAUGUUUUUAGAGAUUGGUUGAACCGGGUGUUGAAUACUGAGAUAUCUGGGUUUGAUAAGAUUGGGAGGAUUGAUUCUCUUGAUUAUUAGGCUGUUCUGUAGUUUUAAAGUUGAUAAUUAUUAGCCCUUUGUGCCCUGGAAUUCUUCUUUUAUUAGCCUGGAAAGAAUUACUAACUAAUGCUAUCCUGCCAAAACUACUGUUGAGCUACUAUCACUGUGUGUUUGUGGUCAGAAUCAAAGUUGAGGCUGCGUCACGAUCAUUUGAACAGUAUUUGAAUUUGGGUUAAAUUCUGAUGUUGCUGUAGUAAAGAUCAGAGAUUGUAUUCCCUUAUGAUGAUGCAGUCUUUCUUUUCUUGACUGCUAACAUUUUCCUUUUUUGGGUUAAUAUUUCGUCUUGGAUAAUGCAUUACCCAAAAACUUGGAUGUCCAAAUUGGAGUUACUAUUAGACGUUAAAGGGUCCGAUUUGAACUUUGAUGGUGUAUAAUACUCAAUUGUGUGGACGAUUAUAUUGCCUUAUCAUACAUAAAUUUCUUAAGAUUGAGAAUUUCUGGAUGUUCAUCAAGAACUUGCUUUCGUAGUCGUGGAAGAUUACUCCUCUACUUUUUGUGGGAGAUACCCCUUUGAACUGGGUGCUGUAUCAAUGCAUACUUCUCUUAGCUCUUUCUUUUGAGUGAUUAAGAGCUGCAAAAACAUGUGCUUUUUUUUAUUGGAUCAUUAAUACUUUUACACUAUUAAGAGCCAAAUGUGAACUGAAACAUGACAAUUGUUUUGUGAUGCAAUCAUGCAUGGUUUACAACAUAAUUUUAAAUUGUGGAUUUUACAGUAGUGGUAUGAUUUGAUUUUGCUGAAGAAUAUGAUGGAGGACAAGCAAUUGAAUCUAAGCCGACCACUUCUUUCUGUGAGACGCCACACAUCAACCGUAGCCUCAGAAAAAGAUAGCAAAAAGAAUGAUCAAAGUUCAAUCUCAAGUGUUACUCGACCUCCUCCAUUUUACAAAUCGGAAUUAAAAUCAGGCCCAGUGAGGAAUGCAGGUACAGUGCCAUUUGUCUGGGAACAGAGCCCUGGGACGCCUAAGGAUGAGAGGACGCUUGAAACUCACACAGAAAGGCCACCAGUUGCACCAAAGCCUCCUCCUGGAAGAGUUUUGAAAGCUAACCAACAAGAUAAUGAUAAUUCUUCCAAAAAAUUAACUGUCAAUAAAAGCCAAGUUGGGAAUCCCCAGGGCUCGCAGAGUGCCUCAGAGUUGGGUGAUAGCAGUAGAAGGUUUAAGAUUACUGAGGAUACAGUGGAGGAAGCACAUGAAAGAAAAGAUGAUUCAGAGGAUGAGGAUGAAGUCUUUGAAGAUGCCCUGGAUACACUCUCAAGGACCGAAUCAUUUUUUGUGAACUGCAGUGUGAGCGGCAUAAGUGGAUUAGAUGACUUGGAUGCAAUGCCAUCUGGAACAUUCUCUACUGAUCCUCAGGCUCGAGACUUCAUGAUUGGUCGGUUUCUGCCUGCAGCCAAGGCAAUGGUUUCAGAAACACCUCAAUAUGCUCCUGCUCCAAAGAAACGACCAGUGGUUCAAGACAAUCCUAGGCAACUGAAGAAAGUAGUAAAUGCAGAUAACCGACCUCAGCUUAGGUAUGGACCUACUUUUGCAAAACAUUAUUCAGAAUUCCAUGACAAUGGAGAAGAAGAAGAAAGUGAUGAUGACUAUGUUGAACAUGAAAAUGUUCCAUCCAAAGUUUGUGGAUUACUGCCCCGAUUUUGCUUAAAGAGUCGUCUUUUAAAUCCUCUACCCGGGAUGAGUGUGAGGACUAGGACACCCAUGUCUCCCACGACAAGGAUGCAGGCUAGAUCUUCUUCUGCUAGUACUUGCAGCAAAACUGAAAAUGAGGUAACUGUUUUUUCUGAUCCAAUCCUCCCUCCUAUCCCACUAGGGGACCACAACCCAUAAGAAAAAGAGCAAAAAAGAAGAUAUGAAUAGACAAAAAGAAAAUAGUUGUCGAUCUUUUGCAGCAAGUUUGUGUUCACUGAAUUCAGUUGCUUUUCAUAUUUACAGCUGUCUAGUGUUGAUACGAGUGAGCAAAGAUCAAUUGAUGGAUCCCAAACAGCUGAGCUUCAUGAAGGGAAGAACGAUUUGAAUGUGAAGUCCAGUCAAAUCUCUUUGACGUCUCAGAAAUCUGAAAAAUCAUUGGCCAACGGGCAUGGUGGUGUGUCAAGCCAUUACAAUGAAUCACCUGCAUCAAUUGACCAAAGAGCUUUCCCGGUCAUUCCUGUUGAACCACAGGAUGCUAGUGUUGAUGGUUGCAGCUCUGAUGAGAAGAGUUACAGAAGCUUUAGGGACUUGUUGGCUGAUCAGAGCCCCUCUGAGGAAGUAAAUUCAGCAAGUCCUGCAGUUGAGAAAACUCUCUACGUAGAUACUGUGCAUAAAGGUGAAUCUCCUAAGAAAACAUGUUCUUUGGGUAUGAAAGGGCCGUCAAUUGAAAGAGAAACGAAUGAUGAAAUUUUACGCUCAGUAGAUUCUUCGCUCAUUGACCAUUUAAGCAUUGCUGAUGGAGGAGAUCCAUUAAAGACAAUUUCUCGAAAACCCCUUGACUUCAGUCUCCUUCCUUUGGCUGAUGAAUCCAGUCAAAAGAUCGAAAAGGAUAAUCGAAAGGCUUUUGGAGAAGAUCAAAAGCUUUACCAGGACAGAGUUGAUUCAAAAAUUACACAAGUGCCUGUCAAGCUAACUACUCAAACUUUAGGAAAGCAUACUGCCAAAGCAGAAAUAGUGGUAAAUUACCAUGGAAUCUCUGCCGAGUUUCCUGCUCCUCCACCAUUACCAAAAUCUCCAUCAGAUUCUUGGCUUUGUCGCACUUUGCCUUCCAUGUCUUCAAAGAAUUCAUCUAUACUUUCGCAUUUUGGGACAGGAAUGAAUCCAAGAAAUCAGGUUUCCAAGACACAAUCUGCUGAUCCCAAAUGGGAAACAAUAGUUAAAACAACAAAGGUGCAUCACCAUCAUUUGAGAUACUCUGAGGUAAAUUGGAUCGUUUUCUUUUUUUUUUUGGCUAACUCGAAGAUAAACUGAUUCGGUUCCUUUUACAUUACUAAUUCUUUUCACUGUUUUAUUACUUGCAACUUUUUCCUUUCUUUCAGGAGUUUCUAGCACCUAUACCAGAAAGCUAGAGAAAUCUUUCGUCAAGUCCUCUGCUUCAUGCUUCUGCUUCCUAUAUUCAUUAGUUUUCUGGCUUCAAAGGUCCUUGAUGGUACACAUAAUUUUCUGUGGGUUUAACUUUCCCAUCUUUUCCUCUGAGAACAGUAUAAGAUUCAAUUCUGCAAGUAAUACUCAAGACAAACACUGUGUGUAUAGUGAUUAGCAGAUUCAAAAAAAUCGAUACACGCUAUGCCCUGAGGGUUCUGUAAAUAGCAUCAUUAAUUUUUGCAGCACUACCCAAUAAGAAAGGUUCUGUGGGAAAAUUUACAUGCUCUUCCACGUUCUAUUUGCAUUACUUUUACCAUACUAGCAUGUUCUUUGGCUUAUGUGAAUCAUUUUCGGGACUAAACUGGUGGGCUCAAAUCUGUUGUAUAAUGAACCAAAGGAUCAGAAUCCGGAACUGGUGGAAGCAAAUAAAGAAAGCCAAUGCCAAUGUGUAAAGGAGCUUUUGAGCUACAUUCAUGAAUUUUUGGCCAGUGAAUGUGGUUGAUAGCUGGAGAUUCUGAGGUUGUACAAUGAAGAGGUGAAAUCAACUGAUUUACGAGUACGCACCGGGGACAAUAAGUCCAUUGGAGCGGAACUGGGAACCCCACAUGCAGUGACGGAGCCAGGAUUUUUUUUUUGGGGGGGCCAAAAUUGAAAUUCCAUUCAAAAAUGACUAAUUCAUAUAUAUAUAUAUAUAUAUAUAUAUAUCAACUCUCAUAAUAUAAACUAAAAUUGAAAAAAUUUAGGGGGGGUCAAUUUUAUUUUACACACAUAUUUACAUAUUAUGAAUUAAAAUUCUCAAAACUUAGGGGGGACCAUGGCCCCCCUCUACCCCCCUUGGCUCCGUCAUUGCCCACAUGGGUUGGUGCUUAGCUUAGUUUUCAAAGCUGAGUACAAUUAUCAUCAAUCUGAUUAACUAGAAUACACCAUAAUAUGUUAACAAUCUCCAAGAACGAAGGGACCACUGUCCCAAUAAAAACAAGAAGACUGAGGAGUUCCCCAGGCAACGGGGCACAUCUCAGAAGACAAAAAUACACGUGAAAAAUCUGCAAAUAUGUACGUAUCAUACGAGACUAUAAUCACGAACCUCCCAUUUUGCUCCUGGAUUUCCUGUUUCCGUGGUGCCACCAUCUCGGGAGUCGGGACUCUUUUGUUGGGUGGCCUUGUUAUGUAGGAGCCUAAACUGUUAGAAUACAGAAGCUAAUUAGGGAACAGGUGCAUCAACUAUUGACUGCACAAACAAGCAUUACUGUGUGGCUGCAAAGCAAUCGAGCUACUCGCUAGUCAAAACUCGAUUUGAACUCGAUUAAUAUCGAGCUCGAGUUGAGUUCAAACUUGCCAAAUCAAAUUUGAGCUCGAGCUCGAGUUCAAAAUAUUAAGCUCGUGAGCUCGAAUAUAUAUAUAUAUAUUUUAUUUAUUUUAAUAAUAAAAUUACAUAUAUAUUCCUAAUUUUUAAUUAUUUAUUAAGAAAAAAAUUAUUUUAUUAUUUUUUUAGAAAAUAAAAUAAUUAUUUUUUUUGAGCUUGAGUUUGAGUUUUAGAUUGAUAGCUCUUUGAGCUCGAACUAAAGUUUGAGUUUGAUAAAAUUAAAUCAAAACUCAACUCGAUUAAGUCAAAACACGAUUCGACUCGACUCGUUUAUAACUCUAGUACUAUAUAAGUCCAUUCAAGAACUCCCGUUUGAAAGAAUCAAACUUUUACUUGUGACCCAGGGAAAAACUUCAAUGGGGAAAAUAUUAUUAACUAACCAGAGCCCAUUUGUUCUUACUUCUUUGGCUAGUACCCCAUUUGAGUUUCUUCAACUUCUAAACAGUUGCCUUUUUUCACCAUUGCAUUGUGUUCUCCUAUCCCAGUAUUAGAUUGCUUCAAUCAUACUAAGUCGCAAGAGAAUUGAACGUGUUGUAAAACCCAGGAAACAGGAUCAAAGUCUAUGCGUAAAAGUCAAACUAUACAUUUUGCUUCAUUCUUUCCUUAUUCCAGAAUUCUGACGGUUUGACAAAAUCGAGACAUGAUACUACUCCCUCCGUUCCUUAUUAGAUGGCCUGAAUAACUAAUUCUCUUAGAUUAAGAAAGUUGAUUAUUUUCUAAAAGUCAACAAAAGUUUUACUUUACUUCUCAAAAUUACCCUUUAUCUCUCUUCAACUAUACCUAAUUAAUACUACCUGUCAUUUAAUUAUUUAGAGUUCCAAUUCAAGAAAAUUGAAAGGGUAAGCAAGGGUAAAUUUGGAAAAAAGUUCAUAAAUGCUUUCUUGAUAUCAUAAAAUGACUGAUAAAAAGAAACAAUGGAUUAGGACAUCUAAUAAGGAACGGAGGGAGUAAUAACUAAGAAUUCAUUUAUGAGAAAAUGUUUCCUUGCGGCUUCCCAACACCCAACCACUUUUCACGAAGUACAUCAACAAUUAAAGAAUUACUACUCGGUUUUGACUCGGAUGUUGAAAACCGUGAGUCCCAAAAAAAAAAAAAAAAUCUGCGGUUGCCCCUGCAAAUGAAUUACAUUACUCACAUUCAAUUCGAAAGACAACAAAUAUAUUAUUUGAAGUACUGUAGCAUUUUUUAUGAUGUUAUGUAUAUGAAAUAAAAAGGUGGUUGAGAAUAUAAAAAGGUGGGUUGGGAAAUGUGUUUAUGAUGCAAGUGUUAUUUGAGAUAAUAGUGAUAUCCAAACACUCGAUUUUAGGAAAAAAAAUUGUGAAGAUAGAUUUCGAUACUAGCACCUUUAAUACCGGGGUUCAUGAUUUUUAACAAGUCAACCAAUCCGUUUGGAUUGCUAUUUUUUUAAAAUUUUUAUUAAAAGAAUAUGCUGUAACGAUUUAAUGAAUGUAAAAUUAAAAAAUGAUUAAGUAAUUUCACAAAAAAUAUAAACAUUUUUCCUUAAAUAAUUGUAAUACAAACAAGGUUGAGAAGACUGGAUUUUUUUGGACAGUUAAUUCUUUAUUUAUAUUAUCAACACAUUUUCUAUCUACAUUUUUAUUCCACAUACAUCAUGUUAAAAAGUAAUACAGUAUUUUUUUUUUUUUUGGAAAAAGCCAAAGCAUGGUCUUUUGCUCAGAAUGCUGGGCCGUCCAAUGUGUGAAAAUGGGUUUGGACUCAUAGAACCCUCAAUUUGGGCUCCAUUACAUUUUGCCUGUGGCCGAGAAAAGCAUUUGGUAUUUACUAAUACGUAUUUUGAUUCUUAUCAAAAUGUUUUUCCUUAAAUUUGAUUCCAUUAAUAACAAAAACCAAUAGUUUUUUCAUCCCCUUGAUCUAAGAAGGGUCCGUGAGGAAAAGGAAAUUACGAAGUAGUUUUUUCAAAAAAAAAUUUCCUCAUCCACAGAUGACUUUAGAUUUAAAACGUUUUAUGGUCAAUUAAAAAACAGAAACGAGCGAAAAAGUAUUUUAAUGGGCUUUUCUAUUAAAACAUUGCGGUUGGCUAACACUUGCAAUUGGUUAAGUCAUAAGUGAGACGUUGGAGAUAGUAGAUUAUUUGAGAUAAUUUUGUAAAAAAAAAUACUGUAACACUUUUUUGAUAAAAUAAAAAAAUAUGAGACAGUUUGUUUACAAGAAAAAGUUAGAAAAUGAAAGAUAGUUAGUUAUUUUUUCUUUUGUGUAUGUUAGUUAUUUUUUGUGUCGGAUAAAAUUUGUAAAAUUGUGAAGGAAGAUGGUUGGAUAGACAUAAAAUUUUAUUAAUUGUUACUAACUACUGCUAAUUUCUUAUUUUCUCUCAAAAGUUGUCCUCUUCUGCAAGUUCUUUUACCUUACUUUCUCACACUGCAGUUUCUCACGUAACUUUCUCUCUAUUCAAACAGAACCUAGGUGAAAAAUUUUUGAAAAAGUGAAUUUAAUUUGACAAGAUAUCAAAUAUAUGUUACACUUAAACGUGCCCACGUUAAAAUAAAAAAAAAAAAAUAGGAUCGUCAUAGAUAUUGAACAAGAACAAUAGCAUUAGAAAAGGCAAGUGUCAAUCUAAAUCUUAGAGUAUCAAUUAUUCUUAGGGUUUGUUUGAUAACAUAAAAAAGUGCUGAAUCUGAACUUUUUCAGACAUUUAGAUGUUUUGAGUGUUUGAUAAAUGAAAAUUCAUUUGCUGAACUUGUUAAGUAGUGCUGAACUUGUGUGUAUUUUUUUCAGCACAAGAAUCCUAACUGAAUGCUUAAUUCUGAUAAGAAUCAAUAGAAUCACUUCAACUAUCUUAUCUUAUCUACCAAAUCUACCCUUAUUUAUUGAUUAUGUUUAAAAUUCUUGUAUAAUUAAACAACCUAAUAUUCUCUAUCUAAUGAUUUUCUAUUUUUUUUCUUCCUUUUGAAUGACUUUCACUUCUUCUCCAUACUCCUCAUAUAAUAUAAUUCAUCUUUUAUAUUAAUUUGAUUUAAAAAUAAAUAUUGUCAUUUUCAUACCUAAUAUUUUUAGCUAAUUAAAUUAUAGGUUCUAUUUCUUUUUUGGAUGAAAAGAUAUAAGGGCAAAAUUGUCAAAUUUAACUUAUUAAGCAUUCAGUUAUAAUUGUUUAUCAAACAGUAUAAAUAGGUUUAGUAUUAAAAUUCAAACAUUCAUAUAUUUCUUUUCAGUGUUUAAAAUUCAGCAAAUUAAUUGUUUCAGUAUUCAGAUUUCAGAAUUCAGACUUCAGAAUUCAGAUUCAGUUUUAUCAAACGGAACCUUAGUCAACAGAAGUAAAACUGGUGCCACAUAUAAGCUCCUUUCCUAAACUAAUGUCCGAAAACGAUUCAAAUUACUAUCGAAAACGAUAAUGUCUUUACUAGCUCAUACAAAACCCAAAACAAUGCCACCUAUAAAUAUCAAAUACCACUAGUAUCAAAUGCUAGUGUGAAGCAUAUUUUUCAGAAAAAAAGCAUAAUCAUAUAUGCCGAGAUUGCUGGAUUUUCCAAUGGUUGUUGGUGCAGUCGGUUUAGAUGAUAGCUGGACUACGGGUCACACAUCAACAGGAUUCAUUAUUCUGUGCUCCGUGCUACCUAUAAUUGCAUUUAUAGUUGGUUCUGUUUGCGGUUGGGUGUUGCAAUGGUGAUCAAGAACAUGAUCAAGACUCAUCAAAGAAGAAGAGGAUUAGCAAGGCUUGUACUGAGCCUCCCAAUUAUAACACUUAUGACGACUAUUAUGGUUCUGAGAAGAAGAGUUCGUCCACUAAUGGAAGUUCUAGCUCUAGCAACACCAUGAAUUAUCUGGCUUAUUUUGCUGCUAAUAAUGCUCUUUCUGCUGUUGGUGGUGGUGGUGGUGGUGAUGGUGACAGGGGCCAUCAUCAUCACCAUCACGGCCGCCACCACCACCAUCAUCAUGGCCAUCACCACCACCACCAUCAUGUUAGAUAAAUGCAUGUACUUGGCCUUUGAUAUAAGGGACAGGGUUUUGGAGGCGUUUCCAUAGUGAAAUUUAUGCGAGAGCUUUUGCGGAAUGUAAAUUCUAAACCCCUGAAAACUUUAAUUAUCUUUGACAUUGCUUUUUUUUUUUUUUUUAAAUGGUAAUUAUGACCUGGGCUUACCAUUUGUCAAGGAAAACUUAUCCUGAUGACGUUUUGUAAGUAUAUUUCUUAUGCACAAUAGUUAUUGGCACUCCCGAUUUUUUAUUAAUGGUAGCUUGAAAAAGAAUUGCAUAGGAAAUGCAGAGCCAUUAAUUAUAAUUCAGAGUGCCAAUGUAACGCGUUAUAAUGAGCAAAUUUCUCUAAUAGUCCUUCAACUUUUUUAUUAAUCCACGUUUGGUUCUCCAUCUUAAAAAUGGGUAGAAUGAAAAUUUGUUGGGUCAAAUUGAUCCUUAUAUUGUAGAGCGUCCAAGAAAAACUUGGAUCAAAGUGGCAAUGAGAUUUGAAUUUCUUGGCUAUUCCGCCGCAUAGGGACCAAUUUGGGCCAAAAAAUUUUGUUGGAGAACAAUUAUGUUUAAUUUUUAAGAUGGAGGACCAAACAUGGAUUAGUAAAAAAAAUUGAAAGACAAUUUGGGGGAUUUGCUCCAUUCUAAUUAUGUAGUUAAAAAAGUUAGAAAAGUCUUUGCAAGAACAAAAUAUGUUUAAAAAUGUCUUGGGUCUAUUGAAGUAGCUCUCAACUAAUUGGUUACGUGCUUUAAACAACACAAGAUUUUUCUCUGUUCCCUAUUUCACUCAACUGCCAAACGCAGUUUUCCCCCCUUUUUCUCGAAAAAAUGGGAGCCACCAGCAAGAUAGGAAUGGUAACGAUGAAAUAAAACCGUGAGCAAAUUCUAGGGAAAAGCAACACAACGGAUCUUCUGUCUCACACCCUGUGCCAUACAGUGAGCAAAUUUAACAAACUCAAAAAAUCAAAAUGCAUAAAAAAUGAGAUUUUUUUAUGAAUUUUCUGCUGUAUUUUUAAAUUUUUUAUUAUAUAUUAGUUUUUUGAAGCUGUUGUAUUUAUUUUUUACUCAAUUAAUAGUUAUUGGAUCUUAAGGAAAUAAAAAAGAAUUAAAACAUGAUGUUUGUGAAGGAGAAAUAACAAUAUAAUAAAAAGUGGAACCGAGAGUGGCACAGAGUGUGGGAUAAAAGAUCCGUUGCGAGCAAUAUAAUUUUCUGUUGUAUUUUUUAAUUUUCUAUUAUAUAUUAGUUUUUUGAAGCUGUUGUAUUUAUUUUUUACUCAAUUAAUAGUUAUUGGAUCUUAAGAAAAUAAAAAAGAAUUAAAACAUGAUGUUUGUGAAGGAGAAAUAGCAAUAUAAUAAAAAGUGGCACAGAGUGUGGGACAGAAGAUCCGUUGCGAGCAAGCAUACACUAUCUUGUGUAAUUAACUUAUAAUUCAUGAGACGAAUAAGUCAUGAUCCAGUCUCGCUUCUUUAUAUCUUGUCUUAAUCACUGACCUAAUCAAGAAGUUGCUUGAUCCAGUCUCAUUUUCUUCUGUCUCUCCUCAAUUGGUUAAGUAAUCAAAGAGAUGCUUUGAGAGGCAAAUGACAAAUAAGUCUUGAGAGGCAAACUGAUUAAUCGCCUUUUAUUAUUCAAUUUUUUAGUUUCCUUGCAUCUCAAGACUUAGAAAAAGUCCAAAAAUUUUUUUAAUCCGGAGAGAGAAAAAAUGCCAGUACUACAUAGAAUUCUAUAGUCAACUAAGGCUGCGUACAAAUAUUAGAAUGCAAUAAUUCAUCAUUAUUCUGAUCAAAGGCCUCUAGGAAUUAGCUGGCAGUGUGAAAUACAACAAUUUCAGAAAAUUGCCCUUUGCAUUUACAGUAAUGUAAUCUAUACAAAUGCAAAAAUCUAUCGAAACAUUUCUGGGGGAUUCCCCAUUCAAGAACUAGUUCAUUUGUUUGACUUGGGAGGCAUUCUAAUUGAACUUGAUGGAAAGGAACGGUUUUGGACGCGUAUCAAGUUUGGAAUUUAUCUUUGUGGUAUGUAAAUUCUAAUUCUAAGAAAACGAAAUUAUCUUUGACUAGCGUUUAAUUAUAAUUAUGACUUUGAUUUAACAUUUUCCAAAGAAUAAUUACUGUAAUUAAUACUAGUUCGGAUUGAUCUUUCUUAUAACCUCCUAAAAUCUUUAAAAUUAUUAGUACUGAAUACAUGACACAUAAUCGUUAUUCAAAUUUUAAUCCUCUUGUUGUACAUGUUGCGUGAAUCUAGACUCAGCGACGUGAAAAUAUACACUAAUGCUAUUGCAAACAUUAAUCCAAAUGGUUUAAAUUUUUUAUACAUUAAUGGUUGAUAAGGUAAUAUAACAAUUAAUAUUUUUAGAAUUACAAGUCAUAGUUCAAAUUCGCUAUCCUGCCUUCCCGCUUCUCGCACCUCAUCUUUUUCUUGCUCAAAAGAAAAUCAACUAAUGUUACUGGCCCUUCAUUUUGUUAAUGGCGCUCCAAUGGGCUUUUGUAAAAUUGAAAAGUAGAUGAAGCAUUUUUUUAAAUUAUUUUUGUCCAUCAAUAAUGAUCACGAAUAUGUAUAUAUAUAUUUAUUUAUUUUAAUAAUAAAAUUACAUAUAUAUUUCUAAUUUUUAAUUAUUUAUUCAGAAAAAAAUUAUUUUAUUUAUUUUUUUAGAAAAUAAAAUAAUUAUUUUUUAUUUUUUCGAGCUCAAGCUUGAGUUUUAGAUUGAUAGCUCUUUGAGCUCGAACUCAAGUUUGAGUUUGAUAAAUUUAAAUCAAAACUUAGUUCAAUUAGAUCAAAACUCAACUCGACUCGACUUGUUUGUAGCUCUGAUACUGUAUAAAAGUUCUAGACAAAGUCCAUUCAAGAACUCUCCUUUGAAAAGAAUCAAACUUUUACUUGUGACCCAGGGGAAAACUUCAAUGGGGAAAAUAUUAUUAACUGACCAGAGCCCAUUUGUUCUUACUUCUUUCGCUAGUACCCCGUUUGAGUUUUCUUCAACUUCUAAACAGUUGCCUUUUUUCACCACUGCAUUGUGUUCUCCUAUCCCAGUAUUAGAUUGCUUCAAUCAUACUAAGUCGCAAGAGAAUUGAACGUGUUGUAAAACCCAGGAAACAGGAUCAAAGUCUAUGCGUAAAAGUCAAACUAUACAUUUUGCUUCAUUCAAAUGUAUAAAUAAAUAUAUAUAUAUAUAUACAUAGAUGUAUAAAUAAAAAUUCAUUUGCUGAACUUGUUAAGUAGUCCUGAACUUUAUUUAUACAUCUAAAUAAAAAUUCAUUUGCUGAACUUGUUAAGUAGUGUUGAACUUGUGUGUAUUUUUUUCAGCACAAGAAUCCUAACUGAAUGCUUAAUUCUGAUAAGAAUCAAUAGAAUUACUUCAACUAUCUUAUCUUAUCUACCAAAUCUACCCUUAUUUAUUAAUUAUGUUCAAAAUUCUUGUAUAAUUAAACAACCUAAUAUUCUCUAUCUAAUGAUUUUCUAUUUUUUUUCUCCCUUUUGAAUGACUUUCACUUCUUCUCCAUACUCCUCAUAUAAUAUAAUUCAUCUUUUAUAUUAAUUUGAUUUAAAAAUAAAUUUUGUCAUUUUCAUACCUAACAUUUUUAGCUAAUUAAAUUAUAGGUUCUAUUUCUUUUUUGGAUGAAAAGAUAUAAGGGCAAAAUUGUCAAAUUUAACUUAUUAAACAUUUAGUUAUAAUUGUUUAUCAAAUAGUAUAAAUAGGUUUAGCAUUAAAAUUCAGACAUUCAUAUAUUUCUUUUCAGUGCUUAAAAUUCAGCAAAUUAAUUGUUUGAGUAUUCAGAUUUCAGAUUUCAGAAUUCAUAAUUCAGAUUCAGUUUUAUCAAACGGAACAUUAGUCAACAAAAGUAAAACCGGUGCCACAUAUAAGCUCCUUUCCUGAAAACGAUUCAAAUUACCAUCGAAAACGAUAAUGUCUUUACUAGCUCAUACAAAACCCAAAACAAUGCCACCUAUAAAUAUCAAAUACUACUAGUAUCAAAUGCUAGUGUGAAGCUUUUCAGAAAAAAAACAUAAUCAUAUAUGCCGAGAUUGCUCAAUUUUCCAAUGGUGGUUGGUGUAGUCGGUUAAGAUGAUAGAUGGACUACGGGUCACACUUCAACAGGAUUCAUUAUUCUGUGCUCCGUGCUAUCUAUAAUUGCAUUUAUAGUUGGUUCUGUAUUGAUCCUGUUUGCGGUUGGAUGUUGCAAUGGUGAUCAAGAACGUGAUCAAGACUCAUCAAAGAAGAAGAGGAUUAGCAAGGCUUGUACUGAGCCUCCCAAUUAUAACACUUAUGACGACUAUUAUGGUUCUGAGAAGAAGAGUUCGUCCACUGAUGGAAGUUGUAGCUCUAGCAACACCAUGAAUUAUCUGGCUUAUUUUGCUGCUAAUAAUGCUCUUUCUGCUGUUGGUGGUGGUGGUGGUGAUGGUGACAGGGGCCAUCAUCAUCACCAUCACGGCCGCCACGACCACCAUCAUCAUGGCCAUCACCACCACCACCAUCAUGUUAGAUAAAUGCAUGUACUUGGCCUUUGAUAUAAGGGACAGGGUUUUGGAGGCGUUUCCAUAGUGAAAUUUAUGCGAGAGCUUUUGCGGAAUAUAAAUUCUAAACCCCUGAAAACUUUAAUUAUCUUUGACAUUGCUUUUUUUUUUUUUUAAAUGGUAAUUAUGACCUGGGCUUACCAUUUGUCAAGGAAAACUUAUCCUGAUGACGUUUUGUAAGUAUAUUUCUUAUGCACAAUAGUUAUUGGCACUCCCGAUUUUUUAUUAAUGGUAGCUUGAAAAAGAAUUGUAAAGGAAAUGCAGAGCCAUUAAUUAUAAUUUAGAGUGCCAAUGUAACGCGUUAUAAUGAGCAAAUUUCUCUAAUAGUCCUUCAACUUUUUUAUUAAUCCACGUUUGGUUCUCCAUCUUAAAAAUGGGAUAGAAUGGUUAUUCAAUAAAAUUUUUUUGGGUCAAAUUGAUCCUUAUAUUGUAGAGCGUCCAAGAAAAACUUGGAUCAAAGUGGCAAUGAGAUUUGAAUUUUCUUGGCUAUUCCGCCACAUAGGGAUCAAUUUGGGCCAAAAAAUUUUGUUUGAGAACCAUUAUGUUUGAUUUUUAAGAUGGAGGACCAAACAUGAAUUAGUACAAAAAAAUUGAAAGACAAUUUGGGGGAUUUGCUCCAUUCUAAUUAUGUGGUUAAAAAAGUCUUUGCAAGAACAAAAUAUAUUUAAAAAUGUCUUGGGUCUAUUGAAGUAGCUCUCAACUAAUUGGUUACGUGCUUUAAACAACACAAGAUUUCGAUUAAUAGUUAUUGGAUCUUAAGGAAAUAAAAAAGAAUUAAAACAUGAUAUUUGUGAAGAAAAAAUAGCAAUAUAAUAAAAAGUGGGACAGAGAGUGACACAGGGUGUGGAACAGAAGAUCCGUUGCGAAAAACGCAUGAGACGAAUAACUUCUUUAUAUCUUGUCUUAAUCACUGACCUAAUCAAGAAGUUGCUUGAUCCAUUCUCAUUUUCUUCUUUCUCUCCUCAAUUGUUUAAGUAAUCAAAGAGAUGCUUUGAGAGGCAAAUGACAAAUUAGUCUUGAGAGGCAAACUGAUUAAUCGCCUUUUAUUAUUCAAUUUUUUAGUUUCCUUGCAUCUCAAGACUUAGAACAAGUCCAAAAAAAUUUUUUAAUCCGGAGAGAGCAAAAAUGCCAGUACUACAUAGAAUUCUAUAGUCAACUAAGGCUGCGUACAAAUAUUAGAAUGCAAUAAUUCAUCAUUAUUCUGAUCAAAGGCCUCUAGGAUUUAGCUGGUAGUGUGAAAUACAACAAUUUCAGAAAAUUGCCCUUUGCAUUUACAGUAAUGUAAUCUAUACAAAUGCAAAAAUCUAUCGAAAUCCCCAUUCAAGAACUAGUUCAUUUCUUUGACUUGGGAGUCAUUUUAAUUGGACUUGAUGGAAAGGAACGGUUUUGGACGCGUAUCAAGUUUGGAAUUUAUCUUUGUGGUAUGUAAAUUCUAAUUCUAAGAAAACGAAAUUAUCUUUGACUAGGGUUUAAUUAUAAUUAUGACUUUGAUUUAAUAUUUUCCAAAGAAUAAUUACUGUAAUACUAGUUCGGAUUGAUCUUUCUUAUAACCUCCUAAAAUCUUUAAAAUUAUUAGUACUGAAUACAUGACACAUAAUCGUUAUCCAAAUUUUAAUUCUCUUGUUGUACAUGUUGUGUGAAUCUAGACUCAGCGACGUGAAAAUAUACACUAAUGCUAUUGCAAACAUUAAUCCAAAUGGUUUAAAUUUUUUAUACAUUAAUGGUUGAUAAGGUAAUGUAACAAUUAAUAUUUUUAGAAUUACAAGUCAUAGUUCAAAUUCGCUAUCCGGCCUUCCCGCUUCUCGCAACUCAUCUUUUUCUUGCUUGAAAGAAAAUCAACUAAUGUUACUGGCCCUUCAUUUUGUUAAUGGCGCUCCAAUGGGCUUUUGUAAAAUUGAAAAGUAGAUGAAGCACUUUUUUUAAUUAUUUUUGUCCAUCAAUAAUGAUCACGUUAUAUAAUUAAAAAUGUUAGAAAACUAUAUGCUGCAAUCCUUAUAAAUUAUAUUAUGCUUCUAUACGGAAAGACAUACUUCAUAUUUCUUCUGAAUGUAAAUGUAGUAAGAGAAAAUUUAUUUAAUUUAUACACUUUUGUGUGUAUGAUCAUGGGUAGGUUUCAAAAAUAAAAGCAAAAAAGCAUUUGUGUUUUUGGUUGCAUAUUUGUUUCAAUACUUUCUAUUUCAAGAUUUCUUUACAACUACACUCUUUUGUCUUUUUUUUUUCCCCAACAUUUUGCUCAAAUGACAAAUGCAGUUCCUCCUCCUCGAAACAACAUCGGGAGCUAGCAAGGCAGGGAUUAAAGUAGAACAAGUCCUACAUUUUUUUGGAACCCCCUCUCCCCCGACAAACAUCCAAACCUCAAAAAAAGGGAUAAUUUCAUAAACCUCUCCUAAGAUUUCUGACAAUUUCACUAAUCUCCCCUAAGAUUAAGGUUUUGAUAAUAAAAUCAGUCCAAUUAGAAAAAGUAACAUUAAAAAAUACUUUAAGGAGAGAGAUGAAACAUUAUUUCAUAAAUACCCCUUAUGCAUGUAUAUAAGUUGUAUUAAUAAAAAAAUAAAAAUAAUUAAAAACUAAAAACAAUUAAUACAUAUAUUUCAUCAUUCAAAAAGUUCACAUUUAAUAAAUUAAACAAUAUAAAUAAGCAACAAAACUACACUAAUGAUUACAAGAUUUAACAAAGCAGACUAGUUAUCUCUUUUGAUAUGAUGUUUGCUAUGAUUCUUGUGAUUUUGAACAGAAUUUUCUUUCCCCUCCAUUCUCCUUUACUAAUAUCUAACGAUUAAGUAAUUAGAGCACUAAUUAACUAUUAGUAUAACGAAAAUAACUGUUAAAAAUUUCUUUAAUGAUGAACAAUGACUUAUAUUUACAAAAUAACAUUAAUUGAUAUACCUAAUGGAAAAAAGGAGGGAAAAUGAAAAUUUUUCUAUUCAAAAUCACAAGAAUCAUAUCAAACAUCAUACUAAAAGAGAUAACUAGUCUGAUUUGCUGAAUCUUGUGAUCAUUAGUAUAGUUUUAUUGCUUAUUUAUGUUGCUUAAUUUAUUAAAUGUGAACUUUUUGAGUGGUCAAAUGUGUGUAUUAAUUGUUUCUAACUUUUAAUUAUUUUUAUUCUUUUAUUAAUAUAACUUAUGUACAUACACAAGGGGUAUUUAUGAAAUCAUAGUUUCAUCUCUCUAUUUAAAGUACUUUUUUAAUAUUAUUUUUUUUAAUUGGACUAAUUUUGUCAUUAAAACCUUAGUCUCAAGGGAGGUAUGUAUAAUUUUAUAAAUUUUAGGAAAGGUUAGUGAAAUUGUCAGAAACCUCAAGGGAGGUUGCGAAAUUAUCCCAAAAAUAAAAAGUUGACUGAGUUCGCCAGACUUAGAACAAGCAAUACAAUUUAUCACUCACUCUCUCUCUUAAAUUCGGACAACGAAAAAUACUAGUAGUAUUUGACUGACUCAAUCUUGAUGGCCACCGACCAUUAAACUUGAACCAUCGAUGAUCCGUCAAUCCAUCUUGUCGGCAGUAGCGUUAAAUAUAAUUCUCAUGAUGUGUGGGCUCUGGCUAGUAGUGUGGAAUACAUAUUCAGAAAAGAAAUAUACAUAUAUCAUAUAUGGGAAGGAUGCUAAAUUUUUCGAUGGUUGGUGUGGUCGGUCCAGAUGAUGGAUGGAACAUUGAAUUCAUUUUUUUGUUAGUGUUCGGAUUCAUGUUUGUAUGUGUAAUCGGUUCUUUAGUGAUCCUAUGUUGGAACAGAUGGUGCGGUCGUAAAGAACUUGAUCAAGAUCAUCAAGAGGAAAAUCCCUGUUAUAAUACUUUUGGCAAUUAUGGUUCUGGGAAGAAGAAGAGUAAGUCCACUGGAACUACCAGCUCUAGCAGCGCAAUAAAUUAUCUCGCUUAUUUUGCUGCUGUUGCUUCUCUUGCUGGCGGUGGUUAUGGGGGCGGCAACGGCCACCACGACCAUCACCACCAUCACGGCCACCAUCAUCACAAUCCCGGGCAUCACCACGGCCACCAUCACAAUCCUGCAGGGCAUCACCACCAUCAUCACAAUCCCGGGCAUCACCACGGCCACCAUCAUCAUGGCGUUUGAUGGUAAGCUAUGCAACAUAUAUAAGAUGCAUUUGGUAAAAACCAAUCUAAGUAAUGAAGCUUUUGGACGUAUUUCAAUUUCAGAAUAUAUCUUAAGAGUUAUCGUGGCAUGUAACUUGUAAUCCAAGGAAAGUUUUGUUUAUCUUUGCGAUUGAUUUUUUUGUUUCUCUUUGAGAAGAGACAAAUUCUUUUAUAGAUGCUCUGGAGUUCAGAAACUCCGAUAGUGAGCAAAAACCACAACAAAAAGAAUGUGCCGAGGUUUUGGCGUACAUACAUCAUGUAGACUUUGAGAAAAAUACACAAGAAAAUGUAAAACUCAGGAAAACAUUGCAUUCAUACAUGACUAGGAGUCUAGGACCAAAGCUCUGGAAUUUUUCUGAAUAUUCUGUUUCCGAUAUCUGUACUAUAGUUCGGUGGUUAAUAAUAAGCCACCUUAGAAGACUCGGAUUACUAGUCAAAAUGGGCAUUAUUAGAUGAAUUCACGACCUUUAUAAUUUUAGUCGAAACCGGAAAAUCGUUAAUUGUUACUACACUUGGUAAAUUAUGGUUGGAUGCUGGGAGCUAGAAGGAAACAUGACUUUUUUUCUUUUUAAAGAGAAUUGAUUAUGAUUUUUACUUACCCGCAAUGACUCGAACACAUAAUCUCUCGAUUAUAGGUGAAACGUUUUAUCUAUUUAGUUACGUUCGUUAUCAAAAUCAUUUGAGGCACGACUUAUCACUUAUCAAGUGAAAAAUUAACGGCACAACUAAUCAUUUAUUAGUGAAAAAUUAACCUUUUUGGAACAAGAAAUGAUCUAAAAGAUUAUACCAUUUGAAAGGUGAUUGUAUAUCAUAUUCAAAAAGUCGAACAUUUUUUUCUUGAAAUCUUUUUUAAUCAAAUUUUCAGUUCAAUUCAAUGGAAAUGCACAGGUGAGAUUCUCCAUAAAAGUUCUAGACCAAACUUGAAAAAAUGAUAUAUGGUUUGGCUAAUGAGUACCCAUUGGGCAGUUGAUAAAAGAGGAAUUGCAUGUUAAUUCCCAAAAGUAUCACAAUUCAGGAAGUAUAAUGGGGGAGGAUUGGGUUGGAUGUUUACCGAGAGGGGGAGGUGGAUUGUAAGUAGGAAGUUUUGGACUGAAACACUUCUAUUUAUUGAAAAAAAUUCAGGAGAUAUAAUAAAUACGAGUGUAUGUUUAUAUGCUAAUUUAGGAGUGAUUUAGGUAUCUUAACGACUACGCACCCGUUAGAAAAUUUUAAUUAUAAAGGUGGUUGUAAUUUGUCCCUCAAAUUUGGUUGUAGGAGAGCAAUGCAUGGUUUGCUUACCAAAGGGAACACACCGUUUGAAUUAUAUAUAUAUAUAUAUAUAUAUAUAUAUAUAUAUAUAUAUAUAUAUAUAUAUAUAUAUAUAUAUAUAUAUAUAUAUCGACUGACUUAGCUUCUGGGACCCUAAAACUUGCUUGAUAUAUUAUUUCUCUGAUGAUUAGCUUUUGCUUACCAAAAUCCUAUCCUUCCCAGCUUCUAAGGUCUAAUCAUGUUUCAGGUGUAGUAAUCGAACUCUUUCCUUUGACACCACCUUUGGAUUAUUAGAUAAUUUACCUCACACAAGCAAUGGGGCCAAAAAGAAAACUAAUAAUCUUGGACCAUCCAUCAUUUGACCUUUUCUGCAUCAGAAUUCUCAAGUUUAGGGUUGAAAUCGAGAAAUGAAGCGGAUCAUAAUUCUCCGAAACUAUUGACUGGUAUUAUGUAUAAACUGAAUUACUGGUGCAUUCAACCCAAAAAAAAAAAAAAAAAAAAAAAACUUUUGGCCACGAGCUAGUACAUAGACAAGAACCCAAUUUAAUUAGUGAUCUAAUACGAAAUUUUGACCAGGCAACACACGAGUUUGGCGGCCAAAUAUCUUAUCCUUCUAGCUCUUGUCUUGAACGACAAAGCACGUUCAAAGCAAUCAGGACCAGGAAAUUAAUCAUAUGUAUGCAAAGAGAAUUAUAAAUGAGUCAUGGAAGCAUUACAAAAUCAGCCCGACAAGGACUCUAUUUCAAACCCAAAACAAUGUCAAAAAAUAACAGCAAUAUCAUCCAAAUCAAUCAACCCAUAGCAAUUACAUAAAUCGAUCGAUGCCUAUACAUACCCGUAUAGGCCGUCCAGUUUUAAGUCCGAAAAACUUUCUUCAACAUUAAUGAAGAUGGUUAGGUUCUUGAAGGCUUCGUUGAACGGUUGUGGUAGCUUUUCAAAUUGCGUAGCUCCAAGCACAGGCGGCUAUGGAGGGCUGCUUGUGCUCUGCAUGUUUGUGGUAACUUCUCUUGUAGCGGUCAUCGUGAUUAUAUUUGGAUGUGGCGAUCAUCAAGAUAAAAAAUCAGCCAAGAAGAAACAAACUAGAACCUCUAGCACCAGUACAAGCAGAUCUUGUGGUUAUGGCGCAGGUGCUCGUGCUGGUCAAGCUAAAGAAUCAGCGAAGAAGGUGCAAUGUAGAACUAAUAGCACUAGCAGCUCUGAUGAUUAUUAUUUCCUUUAUUAUGGUGCUGGCGCUGCUUUAAGUACUAGUAGUGCAUGUGAUGGGCAUGGAGGUGGUGGCAGCCAUGACGGCCAUGGAGGCAAUUGUGGUGGUCAUGGUGGUGGUUGUGGUGGUGACGGGUGCGAUGGUGGCGGCUGUGGUGGGGGUGGCUGUGGAGGUAAUUAGCCAAAGAUGUGCCCAGAAGAACCGGGGAAUUGCUUUAUUUAUUUAUUUAUUUAUUUUGGAAUUUUCAUCAUUGAACUGUACUUAAUAUACAGGUUUUAGACGAAUCACUAUUUUGAAUACUUGAAACAUAUAUCUGAUAAUUCAUACUAUCUUAGGGACUGUGUUCGUUAGUUUUAUUCUUCCAAUUGUAAUACACCCUAUUAGUUGUGUAAGUUAUGAACUCAAAUUGAAAAAAAAAAUUUAAAAAAAAAAGAAAUCUAAUAGUUUCUGAGUUUUAUUUUUUUCUUUGAUUUACUUUGCAAUUAAGAUAAAAUUAAAAAUUUUUUUACCUUCAUAUCUCUCUUCACACCCUUCCUAGUUUCUUAUUAAUGUGUGUGUGUGUGUGUGUGUAUAUAUAUAUUCAUUCUAAUAUUUGCAUUCAUGCCAGCACAUAUAUAUCAAACAUGACACAGAUACAUAAUUCUAAUAAUAAAAUUUACAAUAAUUACGAUAUUGGACAGAGGUCUUCUAAACCUUUGGUAUAGGUUCAAGCAAAUCCAAUUGGAUGCAAGUUCAUUUCAUGUCUUUGACUCCGCAUGAAUUUGUGUCAAUUAUUUGGAUUUGGCUCCAGUGUUCCGCCUUAAAGUUAGGAUGCAUAAACAAAAUCCUUGGCUGGGAUUUAUUUGUACUCAUGAAAAAAAAAAAGUAUACAAAGAAAAAACUAACAAUUUAACUUAUUUUUUGUCUAUAAAAAUACCCAUCCGUCCAGUUAAUUUCCUUCAAUUCUGAAGAGAAAGUAACGAGUGCAUGAGUCCUGUUGUUUCAAUUUUCAUGCCAUGUUCAAGAAGAAGAGUUUGAUUGAUGCAACUGAAGAUUAAAAGAGGCCUGUGAGCAAUUUCCUUGUCCAUCGAAAGCCCAGAUUCCUUGCAUUGCACUGCAGUAAUAUACAGGAAAGAAUGGCAAGAUUCCUGAUCUCGCCUUUGGAUGGUGCCAAUCCAUAUAGGUUAGGUGCAAAAAACAGUGGUUAUGGAGGCUUGGUUUUGGUUGGCAUGAUAAUAGCAUCCCUUGCAAUUUUAUCCAUGAUUAUAUUUGCAUGUGGCAGUAGCCAAGGUUAUGAAGGUUCAUCAAAGAAGGGCAAACGUGAUAGAUUUUUGGUUUAUUAUAAUAAUUAUGGUAGCGAUGGUGGACAUGGCCGUGGUGGUGGCCAUGAUGAAAGCUGCGGCGACGGUGGCGGCGGAGGAAGCAGCAGUUACCAUGGUGGUGGCUGUGGUGGAGGAUAAGAGCGGUUUCACUACAUCUCUUGAUGAUUCAAACCCGCAAUUUAUUAAUACAUCUCUUGAUGAUUCAAACCCGCAAUUUAUUAAUUACAGGUGAAGCAUCUUACCAACUAAACCGUGCUUCGUUGUCAAUUGAUGUGUUAAACAACAUUUAGAAUGUAAAAUUCAGUUUCUGACUGAUGGGAAUUCUGAAGUGGUAUUAGUACAUAUGCGGUUUAUCUGGAGGCCUUCUUGUAAUGUAUUACAAAUACUAAUUAGAAGCUGAUAGAUACUAAUUUCUGAAGAUGUUGGUGCACUUGUACGAUUUUUCUUCAGAAGAUCCAUAAUGAUCAGUUGUGAUUUAUGAACUCAAGAACACAACUAGGCAAUGAUUACUGCACGUUUUGUUAUCUAAUGUUUGGGCAUGCAUAAAUAUGCACGUAAUGAUGAGGUGAUCUCUCUUGUGCCAGCAGAAAAUUUGUUCCAGCAAAACCCUAAUUGGCUAAUAUCCUAAUCUCGUAGUACAACAAUUAAUGUCUUGCUGGAUUGCGUCAAUCACUUCAUAAACUGCAUUGCUUUGUCCAGUGAUAUGGAGCUGAAUACAUAGAAAUAAGAAAUAACCAGCCAACAUAUGCAAGAUUAACUCGCUAGGGAAAUCAUCUGGUAUCAAAAGCAGAAGUUGCAGGUAUGACCAAAUUCUAAGAUCUCAACCAAAAAGUUUGUCGACUAAUAUAAGGUGAGUGUUCUAUAAAAGGGAUAUCUAGUUGAUUAAUAUGUACAACUCCAAAUGCCAAAGUUCUAUGGCACAGAAAAUGAAUUGUUGAUUAUUUUGACAGUUUUAACACAUUAGCAAAUUUCACCUAAAAAAAGCGCUCAAAUGAAGCUCACAAUUCAUUCACAAAACUAAUAACCCCACCAAAAUUUGAAGGUUAAGUUUUGAUAACGCGGCCCUUGUACUGUCCUCU
RNAcentral lists this long non-coding RNA (59951 nucleotides) under Coffea arabica (coffee). Its description in RNAcentral is "long non-coding RNA (CARA_LNC003566)". The record is from RNAcentral. Lineage: Eukaryota; Viridiplantae; Streptophyta; Magnoliopsida; Gentianales; Rubiaceae.